CCCGUAUUUAUAGGCAAGGCUGUGGUUCGGUGAUGAGACCUGGAGUGAUCCCGGAUUGGUCAGUCCGAGAGACCACGGAUCGCUAUCUUUUCUAACGAAAGAUCUGGACGGUACAAGUGGGGAAGUAUCUAGACGUUGUUUAAAUAACUCGUAGUGGGUAAAUGAGAAAAAAUCUAUGUGCGUCCUUAUCCGAAUGGCUUGAACUAUGGUUUUUGUAUUUUCUCUCAUGGCGUGGGAGCUUGUGUUUUCUUGCUGGUUUUACGCCUCAUUUUCAAUGGAUUUUGUUUGGUUUUGUUCUUGAUAUCUAGUGGGAUUGAAGUUAAGAAACAGCAGAUUCUAAUGCGGUUUCAAUGGGUUUAAAAUGGUUAAUAUAUGGUUCAUAUCAAGGCAUGGAAGAACAACAGUGUUUUUUAAAUGUAUUUUCCCAUCUCAUUUUCGUUUAUUUAUUUGUAUAUAUAUAUUUUUUGGAUUGAUUGGGAGUGUGAGGUUCUAUCUCUCCAAUGAAAUUGUGAUAGUGUUUUCUAUGUUUAAUUAGGAAUUGAAAAUACUUUUGUUAUGAAAAACACCCAUUUAUCAUGAUACAAUAAUUAAUAUAUAUAUAUAUAUAUAUAUAUAUAUAUAUAUAUAUAUAUAUAUAUAUAUAUAUAUAUAUAUAUAUAUAAACUUGAGUGCUUUUGAAAAUAAUUUUAAAAAACGUUUCUUAUAUUUCUUAUAUUUAAAUAAUAAAAAAUUAAAAACAUUUUUUGAAAUCAUUGUCUAACGGGCUCUUAGCCCUUUUUUAAACUCAUCUACGCCACUUAGACAACUUUGAAUAGAUUGUCUAAACAUGAUUAGUGGAGCAUAAGAUAGAAUGGGUAUGAACAAAGAUAUUACAAAUUUUAUAAAAACUUACACAUGUUUAUAAUGAGUUUAUUGAAAAAAAAAAGUAAAUUUUUUUUUACAAAAGCAUAUUUUAUAAAUAAAAUUUCAUGAAUAAAAGCAUCAAAAUUUUAAGCAAUGUCUAAAAAUAGAUAAAGAUUUUUUAUUUGUAUUUUUUUUUUUUUUAUCUUCAUGUCUGAAAGAAAAACUGUUAUAUAAGUGCUAGUUUACCUGCAUUUUCGUUUUUAAAAAUAAAAACAAUGAUUAUUUUUAUAUAAAAUAUAAUAAUUUUUACAUAAAAAAAAUAGAGAUUUAUCUUAUAUUCUUAAAAAUUAUUUUAAUAAUUUUUUAAAUGUAAGAAAAUAAUUUUAUUAAUAUUUAAAUUUUAAAAUUUUUAUAACGUUAAUUUUUUAUAUAAAUUAUUAUUUUUAUUGUAAAAUGCAUAUUUUAUAAAUAAAUUUUCAUGAAUAAAAGCAUCAAAAUUUUAAGAAAUGUCUAAAAAAAGAUAAAGAUUUUUUUUUUAAUUUUUUAUCUUCAUGUCUGAAAGAAAAACUGUUAUAUAAGUGCUAGUUUACAUGCAUUUUCGUUUUUAAAAAUAAAAACAAUGAUUAUUUUUAUAUAAAAUAUAAUAACUUUUACAUAAAAAAUAGAGAUUUAUCUUAUAUUCUUAAAAAUUAUUUUAAUAAUUUUUUAAAUGUAAGAAAAUAAUUUUAUUAAUAUUUAAAUUUUAAAAUUUUUAUAACAUUAAUUUUUUAUAUAAAUUAUUAUUUUUAUUUUAAAAAACAAGAAAAAUAAGUGCACCCAGUCGACACCUAAAUCGUUUACUGCAUGGAAUUUAUGGGAAAAAAAAUUCAGUGGUGGGCCCAAAAUCAGGUGGCCUCCACGCGUAUCCACCAAACUGGAACCUUGAUUUCAAGUCAAAGCAAAGCACUUGGAAUCAGCUCAGCAGAAAUUAUAGGUGGCAAAUUGCGCCGUUAGGGCAUUGUGAUUCAAAGUAGCCUGUGGCAAAAAGGAGACAGGUGAAGGAAGGCGGUUCCCAUUGGGUGAAAUAUCUUUAAGAAAAAUUAAUGUGGGUCCAUGCAAAGGACUAAAAUGAAAUCAAUUUGAUUAGUAGGGCCCCAUAAGUUAAUAAUGAUAAUGAUCCGGCUAAUGGUUAAGAGGGUGGUUACGAUGACUAAAAAUAAAGCGGGGGUAAAUUUUAAAAUUAAAUUGAAUUGUCAACAAGGGUAAAUGCCAAUUGCCAAGUAAUGGUUAAUUAAAAAAUUCCAACCUAUGUUUCUAUUUUCGAAGUUAAAAUUAAUGAACUAGGCGGAGAGGUAACGUCUAGUCAUUCAUCGACUUUGGGAAAGGAACUUGAUGAAUAGUUAGUCAUCAAUUUAACAUCAAUCAUCUUAUAUUAGUUGAAUAGACUAAGAUGGUGUUUGCUUUUCUGGCUUUUUGCUGAAAACAAUUUGUUUUUAGAAUUUAAGUUGUUUGUUUUUCUAUUUUUUCAUGACUUAUUAUAAACUUUUUACUAAAUAGAAAUAGCCAAAUAUUUUGACUUUUUCUAAAUAGAAAAAAUAACAUAUUAAUUUUUCUUUACUUUUUAAUACUUAAUAGAAACAAAAUACUAUAAAAACAAACAAACAACCUGAUAUAUAACAAUAUUAAGCAUUAAGGUUCUAUUUAGAAUUAAGUAAAAAAACAAAUACCACCUAAGAUGAUAUUUGUUUUUUUGGCUUUUUACCGAAAAUAAUUUCUUUUCAGAAUUUAGGUUGUUUGUUUUUCUACUUUUUCAUGACUUAUUAUAAACUUUUUAUUUAAUCGAAAAAACCAAAAUAUGUAAUUUUUUCUAAAUAGAAAAAAUAACAUAUUAGUUUUUCUUUACUUUUUAAUACUUAAUAUAAAUAAAAUACUACUAAAACAAACAACCUAAUAUUUAAUAUUAUUAAGCAUUAAAGUUCUAUUUAGAAUUAAGUAAAAAAACAAACACCACCUAACACUUUCUUGAUAUCCACCUUAUACUUCAAUGGAAAGUAACCAAUAGACUAGCAAACAUGUUAUACUCUCUCUAGCUGUAAGAUAUGGGUUGAUUAAUAACACAAUGCUUGACUCCAAAAGCUAUUGUGAAGCUUCACAUUGAGAGACUACAGUCGUAAGAGUAGUAUCCAACAAAUAGCAUCGGGGUGUCCACCCUUAGGGGAGUUGUCUUGUGUAAUGUAACAGUAAGUCAUGGUUAUAUCAAUAGAGGCAUAUCCCAAAGUAUGUUUCUAUUUUCUAAGUUAAAAUUAAUGAACUAGGUGGAGAGGUAACAUUUUGUCAUUAAUCAACUUUGGGAAAGGAAUUUGAUGAAUAUUUAGUCAUCAAUUUAGUAUCAAUCAUGCGACAUUAGUCCAAUAGACUAACACUAUUGUAGUGUCCACCUCAUACUUCAAUGGAAAGUAACCAUUUGACUAGCAAACAUGCCAUACUCCCUCUAGCUAUAAGGUAUUGAUCAAUAACACAAUGCUUGGCUCCAAAAGGUACUGUGAAGCUUCACAGUGAGGAGACUAUAGUUUUUUUUUUAUAGGCAAAAGCACAAAGAUAUAUUAGAGAAAGGGAGCUUGAAAGGCAACCCAGAGCAUACAGGGAGUAUACAAGAGACACCUAAAACAAGCAAUAAAAACACAAGCACUCACCGGCUCUCAACAAGAACCCAACCAAUCCACAAAGUUAAACAAAGAUAAAGGGCCUACAACUAUAGAAGAAUUAGCCCAGGAUAAGAGAUUACAAACAAAUGAGUUUUUCAAUCUUUGAGUCGAUAAAGCCUCGUUAUCGAAGACUAUCCUAUUUCUUUCCUUCCAAAUUGUCCAAAAUAAACAGAGAGGAGCUGUCCGCCAAACCUUUCUAUGAUUCUUGUCCUCAAAAGAGACAUACCAACUUAAUAGAGUGUCUCUCACCGAAAACGGCAACACCCAAUUGACCCCAAACAGAGAAAACAUGAGAUCCCAUAGAAUCUUCGUCUUAGAACAAUGAACAAGGAUAUGAUUUAUCGUUUCCUCUUCAACGCAACACAAGCAACAUCUAUUGGCUAGAAUCCAGCCCCUCCUCUUAAGCUGAUCUUGAGUAAGGACUUUCUCCUAAGAAGCUUCCCAAGCAAAAAAACUCACCUUUGAAGGAACAUACGGACUCCAAAUGAUAUUACCCAGAAACGGACUGCACAGCUAUGAUCAAGAGACUUGUAGAGAGAUUUUACAGUGAAAAUCUCAUUUUUCGUCCCUCUCCACAACAUCCUAUCCUCCCCAUCAGCAUCUAACUUCUUCCCUUGAAUGGACGAUAGGAGUCUCUCCACCUCCUCCACCUCCCAAUCGUUGAAAGGUCUAAGGAAAAGUGGAGUCCACCCUCCCACUUCCCCCAUUGGGUCCCAAUAGUCCGCAACCCACGCAUCUUUAGACCCCGCUAAAUCAAACAAGGAGGAAAAAGCCUCACAAAGGGGGGUGUUCCCGCACCAAAUGUCUUUCCAAAAUCUCACCCUUUUACCAUCCCCCACCGAGAAAGAUACAUUAUUGAGCAGUAGCAAACCUUCCUUGCUGAUUUCCUUCCAAAGCCCAACCCCAUGGCCUUCCCUAGCCCCGCAAGUGCUCCACCCUCCUCUUUCAACCUCAUACUUCGAACUAAUAAUAAGCUUCCAAUAUAAGUCUCUUUCAACCGCAUAACGCCAACUCCAUUUGCACAAGAGGGCUCUAUUAAGAAUGGAGAGAUUUCUAAUCCCCAAUCCACCCAUCUUUUUGUGAGUACAGACAAUAGCCCACUUAACAAGAUGAGGCCUCUUCUUCAACGCUCCCCCUCCCCAAAGAAAGUCCCUUUGAAUUUUCUCAAGUCUUAAUUUAACCACUCUUGGCAUGCGCAAUAAUGACAUAAGAUAAGUUGGCAUGCUCGCCAAAGUACUCCGGAUGAGAGUGAUUCUUCCUCCCUUAGAAAUGAAUUGCCUCUUCCACAAGGCAAGUUUCUUCCUCAUCCGCUCUUCCACUCCGUCCCAAACCUUCACAGACUUAUGCGAAGCUCCCAAAGGGAGCCCCAAAUAGGUGGAAGGGAGAGAUCCCACUUUGCAGCCAAGCUCAGCUGCCAGUAACUCAGCAUUCUCCACUCUACCCACCGGCAAAAUCUCACUUUUGUUCAAAUUAAUGCGCAGUCCUGAAGUGGCUUCAAACCACAUUAAUAACCAACUUAGAAAAGCCAAUUGCUCUUGAGAGUCAUCACAGAAGACCAAAGUAUCAUCGGCAAACAGCAGGUGCGUAACUUGGAUCUCGAUACCUUCCCUUCCCCCUAUCCUGCAGCCUGAAAGAAAGCCCCCUCUCACUGCUCUGUUAAUGAGACUACUUAAGGCCUCCAUUCCUAAGACGAAAAAAUAAGGAGAGAGUGGGUCUCCUUGCCUUAACCCCCUGGAGCUCCGGAAAAAACCGGUAGGAGAACCAUUGACCAAAACCGAAAACGAGGCAGUGGAUAUGCACCAUCUGAUCCACCCAAUCCAUUUCUUCCCAAAACCCAUACUUUGCAUCACUGAUAGCAGAAAAUCCCAAUUAAUCCGAUCAUAGGCCUUCUCUAAAUCCAAUUUACACAAGACCCCACUUUCCUUUCUUUUCAGCACGGAGUCUAUGACCUCAUUAGCAACUAAUGCAGCAUCAAGGAUUUGCCUACCUUCAACAAAGGCAUUUUGGGUUGAGGACACCACUUUUCCUACUACCUUUUUCAAUCUAUUGGCUAAGACCUUAGCAAGUAGCUUGUAGAGACCCCCCACCAAACUGAUGGGUCUGAAAUCACUCAAGUCUUCAGCCCCACACUUCUUUGGGAUUAAAACUAAGAAGGUGGUGUUCAGGCUUCUUACGAAUUUUCCCCUCUCAUAAAAAUCCUUGAAGAAACCCAAGACCUCAUCUUUGACAAAAUCCCAACAAAAUUGCCAAAAUGCAAGGGAGAACCCGUCCGGACCAGGGGCCUUGUCCCCAUUCAGAUCUGAUAGGGCCAAGAACACCUCAUCCCCAGAAAAACUCUCCACCAGCCUGGCUGCCUCUUCAUCCCCAAUUCUGUCAAACUCAAUAUUGUUGCAGCAAGGGCGCCAUCCUCCAGGUUCUGAUAAAAGGUCCUUAAAGGCCCUCACCACUCCCCUUUGAAUGUCAUGAUCAUCUGAAAGCCAGGUGCCAUUGACUUUAAUUUUUUUCAAACAGUUCCUCCUUCGGUUCGAAUUUGCCAUCUUGUGGAAAAAUCCCGUGUUCUUAUCGCCUUCCUUCAGCCAAAUUUCUCUCGAUUUUUGUCUCCAUGAAGUCUCCUCCAUUAGAGCCCAUUUCUUAAAUUCCUCCCUAGCCUCCUUUCUCGCCUCUAGCUCCUGCUCAUUUAAAGCUCUAAGUUGCUCCUGAUUAUCCCAAUAGGAUACUUUAUCCAGAGCCAACCCUUUAUUCACCCCCACUUUGCCAAAGACUUCCGAGUUCCAUUCCUUCAGCUUAAUUUUCAAGGCCUUCAAUUUUUCUGUCAAGAUGAAACUGUAGGACCCACUAUAAUUAAAUCCUUGCCACCAGCCCUUUAACAGCUCCUUAAACCCCUCCUCCUUCAACCACAUAUUCUCGAACCGAAAUGGGAUUGGACCUCUCCUCAUCCCACCCCCAUCUAACAGGAUUGGGAAGUGAUCGGAUACCGGUCUUGGGAGAGAACACUGAAUCGCCCCACUGAAAUGAUUCUCUCAAUCCUCCGAAAUCAGAAAACGGUCCAGUCUGGACCUUGAAAGACCAUUCAGCCCUCCACUCCACGUGAAUAACCCCCCAUGGAGAGGCAAAUCUUUUAAAGUCAACUCCUCAAUCACCUCUGAAAAUCUUCUCAUAGAACCAGUCAGUCUUUCUUCUCUACUACGCUCACUAGGAAAUCUGACCACGUUAAAGUCCCCGCCAAUACACCAAGGGUCAGACCACAGCCCUCGAAUGGCUCCUAGCUCUUCCCAAAACAACUCUCUAUGCCAUUUCAUAGUGGGUCCAUAAACUCCCGUGAAGGUCCACAAGAAGCCAUCUUCACAAUUUUUAAAGCAACAAGAGACUGAGAAAAGACCCACCUCCAUGCCCAUUAACUCCAGAACCCUGUUAUCCCAAAACACUACAACCCCACCGGCUGCCCCCCUUGCACUCAUAGCACCCCAAUCUAAGAAUCUUCCCACUCCAAGACUAUGAACAAUCCCUCUGGACAUAUCUUGAAUUUUGGUCUCCUGUAGACACACCAAAUCCGCUCUUUGGGACCUGAUCAAAGCCUUAAUAACUUUCCUUUUAUCCCUAUCAUUGGCCCCUUUUAUAUUCCAAGAUAUAAUCUUUAUCUUCAUCUAAGGUUCGAGAUUCUGCCCCCUCCAUCUCUGACCAUAGAUUUCUCCUUCCUCGCCCCUUUGUAAUUGAUGGACCACUCUAAUUUCUUCAAUUCACGAUCAAACUUAGUGGACCCCGAAAUGUCUUUCUUAAUAUUCUGUUCCCUUCUCUCUGUUCCUUAGAAGCAAGUUCANNNNNNNNNNNNNNNNNNNNNNNNNNNNNNNNNNNNNNNNNNNNNNNNNNNNNNNNNNNNNNNNNNNNNNNNNNNNNNNNNNNNNNNNNNNNNNNNNNNNNNNNNNNNNNNNNNNNNNNNNNNNNNNNNNNNNNNNNNNNNNNNNNNNNNNNNNNNNNNNNNNNNNNNNNNNNNNNNNNNNNNNNNNNNNNNNNNNNNNNNNNNNNNNNNNNNNNNNNNNNNNNNNNNNNNNNNNNNNNNNNNNNNNNNNNNNNNNNNNNNNNNNNNNNNNNNNNNNNNNNNNNNNNNNNNNNNNNNNNNNNNNNNNNNNNNNNNNNNNNNNNNNNNNNNNNNNNNNNNNNNNNNNNNNNNNNNNNNNNNNNNNNNNNNNNNNNNNNNNNNNNNNNNNNNNNNNNNNNNNNNNNNNNNNNNNNNNNNNNNNNNNNNNNNNNNNNNNNNNNNNNNNNNNNNNNNNNNNNNNNNNNNNAAAGCUUGACUCUCCGAGCUAAAUAUCUGAGCCAUAGGGCGAGAGGCCGAAGGUGCUUCCCCACGGACAAAAAAGUCAGCAUCUCCUGAGCCUUUCUCCACGCCUGGCGAUUAUGCCCUAACUCGAGGACUCGAGAUUCCUUCACCAUUUAAAUCUCCUCCUUCCGCUGCAACAGGCCUUACAGGCCCAAAACCCUCUCCUUUCUCCCCGUAAGUGACAUUGGGCCUUAAGACACAGCCUAAUUCCUCCUGGGUUUCUUUAAAAGGCCCCUGCCUUAACCCACUUAAAUGAGAAAGGCCCAGAGACACCCCAUGGGCUAGCCCUUUUGGCCCGAUGCUUGGCCCAAGAGCUGGACUUUCCAGCUUAUUCAAAAAGAACCCGUCUCCCUCACUAACCCGUCCAUCAGCUGACCCUACUCUACCCUCCACUGCAUCCCCUGCCUCAUAGAACACAGCGGGACAGAGGGUAGAGACGCCUCCACAGGCUGACACGGCACUCACUACCUGCUGCAUCCUCAACUGCUCCACCUUCUCCCUUUGACUUCCACGGCUGAGAUCACGAACAGUUCCACUAGCCUCUUCUCCUUCCCUUGAGCUACCUUCCCCGCUGGAACAUCCCGCCGGCACCACCUGCGUGAACCAGGGGGAAGACUCCCACCAAAGUUGAAGGGAAUAACAACUCGACCCCACAACAAUAUGGGCAGUGCUGGGCAUCUCCCUGUCCACGCACCUCACCAAUAACCGAGCCCAUUGCAUCUCAUGCAAAGAUGAUUUAUCCGCAGCUAUGAAUCCUCCACAUUCAUCUCCAAUUCUUUUAAACACCACCGAGCUUCUUAAAUGCAAGGGGAGUCCAAUCACCCUUACCCAAACUUCUUUUGCCAUGGGCUCCUUGCGAAGACACCCCACCUCAGGGUUCCAUCUCUCCAAGACUAAAACAUUCUCCUUGAAGAUUCUCAGUCCUCUGGCUAAAACACGCUCAGCCUCGUCUGGUAACUCGAAGUCAAAUAGCAAUAAUCCUCUGCCUAACGUGGCCACCCACAUAUUCCCCUUCAAAGCCCAAUGCUUCGAUGCCCAACUUCUAACGUACUCCAUCUCAGGGCAAGGAGCUGAACUAGGUCCCCACCAGCCUACCAGACACUGACUCAUUUGUUCUAUUUUUCCACGCACUUCUCCUUCCCCCACCUCUAACCAAACUGACUGGCCUACCCUUCCCGGGCUUUUCCUUACAGCAUCAGCAUAUGUUUUCAGCUCCACCCCUUUCUCCCUCCACUGGACCUUCGAGCCCCCUUUCGUCCUCAACAAGUCCUCUGACCCUUUAGGACCCUGCAAGCCACCUAAGGGGAUCACACCAAGAUCUCUCAGCCUCUCAGCCAAGGAAUUCCAACCAAAAGACUGACCCUUUCCCUCUGGGACAAUAAUGCUAUACUUUUUUGAAUCAAUGUCGCGAACUGAGCAGAAUAUGAACCUGCCUACCCCAUUCGAACGGCGCUCCAACCUAUACUUUCUAUUCCCCUCCUCCCAGCCAAUAGCCCAAGCACUAUUGUUAACCUCUCUACAGCAAACUUUCACUCCAUCUAGUAAGCAUCUUAAGCUAGCCUCCCUGAAUCUAAUCCAUGAAAAGACCCCUUUGCUCCUCUCCCAAAUGCAACCUCUCAGCUUGCCUCCCACCUCUUCAAUCAAGAUUUCGAAAGAUUUGGCCUCCACCACGAAGCAACUUCUUCCCCCCCCCCUUGAACCACCAGCUUCACCCCUCCUCAUCUAAUUUAAUUGAAGACACUUUUUAGGCAUUCCUUUUUUUCACAAUUAAGAAAAAGAACUCUCAUGAGGAGACUAUAGUUGUAUACUACUCUUAUGGUUACCUUGAUGCUANNNNNNNNNNNNNNNNNNNNNNNNNNNNNNNNNNNNNNNNNNNNNNNNNNNNNNNNNNNNNNNNNNNNNNNNNNNNNNNNNNNNNNNNNNNNNNNNNNNNAUGGUGAGGAGACUAUAGUUGGGAUACCAUAAGAGUAGUAUACAACAAAUAGCAUCAAGGUAACCACCCUUAGGGGAAUUGUCUUGUGUAAUAUGGUUGGAUCAAUAUUAUAUGGUGUUUUCACUAGAAUUUUCCUAUUGAAUUAAUAAAAAACUUCUAUCAUAUCUUAAUUUAUCUGUGUAAUCAUAGGCUAGUGAGUCAGCCAUGAAGAAGCCCCAUGAACCAGGUUAUUCUUCCAGUAAGCCAUACUCCUUAUGAAUGAUUAUUUCUAUUUUGUCGAUCAUAACAUUAGUGCAAAUUUUAUGAUUUAAAGGUCUUGAUUUCAAGCAUAAAAAAGAACCUAGUAUGUGUAAAGAGUGUCAACAUACACAUAUAAUCACCUGAGGAAGAAAGAUAGGUACACUAUACUUUGUCGAGAGGAAUUAGAAUAUUUAGGGAAAGUGAUUAACUCCUUCAAUAGGACUAUACUAAUACUCAUAAGUAUUAAAUUUGCUCUAACGCACCCAAAUAUCAAACUAAUAGGUUCACUUAGUAUCAUUCCUCGUAGGGGGAUGGAAAAUUUUGCUACAACAUAAGCAAAAGUCUCUUCUUUGUUUUGAUCUUUGCGAAGAAACUCUUCUAUGGAAUUACAACUAUAUCAAGUGGGAUUUAAAAUAAUGAUCUAUUUGAUUGUUGCUAAGUGGAUAGCCAAGUUCAAAGGGUUAUGAAUUCAGGUAACGACAUUAGAGAUGAGGAAAGGCAUGGAAUUUUAGUCUAGAUUCCUUAAUCUAAAAUGCAAGGGAAUGAUGUUUGCUCCUAGUCUUUUGUAAGGUUUGAAUAAGAACAGGGUGAAGAGUGGGGAGUGGUAAUGAUUGCAGACUCGUAGUUUUCCUACGCCCAUGAAAUGGAGUAUCAACAUCUACAAUCACGUGAAGGUAUUAACUGAAUAUGGUUUCACUUUAGCAAAUGGUAGGAAUUAAUAGCAAAAUAUGGAAAUUUUGGAUAAAAGUAUGAGAAAAAGCAUGUUCACACUUGGAAGAAGACAUUGACAUCGAUGGAGAUAUCAGCAUAUUGACAUAUGUUAAGUACCAUGCUUAUGCAAAUUUCUUAUCAUGUUUAACAUAUUGAUGGCGUAUGAACCACCAUCAAUAUAUGUCCGUCUCCCACCCCAUUUGGGUGAAGGUGCUAGUGAUGAGAUUGGGUUACACCCUCUAGAUUUCAUCAGUUGCUUCUGAGAAUGCUAAGAGCCAAGGACGGUCAAGCAAACAAAGGGGAACAACAUAUUUUCUUUAAGUCUUCAUCCAAAUCUUCCAAAAAGGGUAACAAAGGAACCAAAUAAUUGGGCAGACUGGUCUUUUGGGGCACUUGCAGGACUUCAAUUGGGGUAACCAUAUGUUCAUUGGCAAGUGGAAAAGGGAAAUUACUAGUCGCUGGCUCAGUUGCGUUUGUAAAUGUUAGUUAUUGUUAGUAUGUGUUUGACUCUUUUCAUCAAUCAGUUAUUUAGUCAAUUAUAGUAUAUUACCCAAUUGAAUACUUUUAGCAGUUCCAAGAGGUUUCAUGUUGAAAUAACAGUUUUUCAGUGUACUCCAGUGAAGUUUUGAAGUGAUUUACUAAUUUCUGUAGGCUAAGCGUUCACACAGGGAUGUAUCACAUUAUACAUAAAGAGCUAGAGCGGAAGAUUCACCAUUAAAUCGAAUCAAUCAAAGAUUGCUAAUGAGAUGAACCUUUUUACCCUAAUAGGGCUUCCCCAGGUUUGGAUUCAUGCUUUAAACACUGGAUACCAUAUUUGUUUCAACACUUUUUAUUAGCUAUAUAUAUACAUCUACAGGAGCCAACAAUUACUUCUGAUAUUUCACCAAUCAAGCUGGGGUGUCUAAAAAAAAAAGCCAACAAUGGCUAAAAGUUAAGAAAAUUAUGGGAGAUAAUUGUGCCAACACCAGAUGUUGGGCUAACAUCUAAUUAUGAGGUUUCAAAAAAUUAGAAAAUAAGCAAGUGUAACAGAAAGGAAAACUCGAAAAUUACAAUAUAUAAGGAACCCAGCCACACCAAUCAUCAGACAGCCAACAACACAUUUGGUGUCUCUAAAUUUUCCAUUCAAUAGUUCAACCAACCAAUGGUUAAUAUGAGAGGAAUAACUGUAAAAUCACAGCUAGGUGAGAAGUGUGCAUGUAGCAAACUAACCUGUACAUGGACCCCAGGAUUUUAGCUUGCAGUACAGACCCUUGAGUGCCGACUAGAUCUUUGAGGAAGGAAUACAGCUUCCACUUUUUCAAACUCUGAUAAUAGACCAAUGCUGAGGUGCACACACUGGAUGGAUGCCUUGGAUACAAAUGCAUUGUGAAGGAGGCAAAUGAUCAUGAUCAAUUGCCCCUUUAUCCUUAGGGCAAACACGACUUAAAACUAAAAAUUACUAGGGUCUGGAUUUGGAAUGGUAUGUACAACUGAUUGCAUCGACAUUAGGUUUUGGAAAUAGGUAGGGUGGAAACCAGACCCCUUAGCAUGACUAUACUUGAGGCGCAACAUAUAUAAACCUUAAAUAAGGAUGCCAUUGUAGCUGUGGCAAGUGGCAUAUGCAUAAAAACAUAUAUAAAUAGACAUAUACAUACAUACGAACACAUGUAUAUAAAUACAUAGAGACACAUUUAUAUACACAAUGAAUUUCUAUUUAGACAAAAGAUAACAAAUGAAUCUUACACACAUUCAUUAGCUAUCAACUUAACUAGGGCAAUAGACUUUGCUUCCAUACUCCAUAAGCAACAGAAACAACAUAUAACAAUCAAUAACACCACAUUUUUUUCGCAUAAGCUUAAUGUCCAAUUCAAGCCAUCAUAGUUCACUCCACAAGUACCAAAACAAAAGUCAUCCUUACCCUCUACCAGACUUAAAUAUUUUUCCUAUGCCAACUACAAACCACAGAAGCUGAAAGCAAUUUAUUAUAAUCAAGGACAAUGCUUAUUGCCACAAUGUCAUUAAAUAUUUUUCCUCUCUUUUGAAUAAAUAUGGGUUAACCUAGGCAAUCAUCCAAAAGGAAAAGACACAAGCAAAACCAAAAAGAGCAAUUGUAUAUCAAUCACGUAUUUUCUUAAAAUAGGUUAAACCUCAUGCUAUUUCUUAUUUGUUAGCUUUAUAAACUCUUUUCAACCUAAAAUAUGAGAAAUAUCUUGAAGAGCUGUACUUAUAACCCAAAACAUUCAUCUAAAUAUGCACCUUUAUUUUCUGUAGAACAAAUUUCAUCAUCCUCUGUCCCUUUCCCUUUCCCUUUCCUUUUCCCUUUCCCUAUUGCAGUUGAGGUUUUAAGUAGGUUGUUGUUUAGAGUGGAGAGCAUUUCAUUGGAAGGCUUCAUAGUGGGUAGGAGUAGGUCUAGAGUGUCUCAUUUGCAAUUUGCUAACACCAUCUUCUUUUCUAGAGCCUGUAUGGAAGAAUUGCAAAUCUCAAGUUAAUCUUAUUGAUUUUUGAGCAGAUUUCAGGUCUGAAGAUCAAUUUAGUCAAGAGCUCUCUCCAUAUUAACAUAAAUCAACAUUAAAUCUCCAGUCCGAAUUCAAUGCUUGAACGCAAAAGUCUUUGCCUGGCCUUUAUCCUACCUGGGUCUUCCAUUAGGGGGAAUCCAAAGGCAAUCACUUUUUGGGAUUCCCUGAUUGACAAAAUUUUGCAGAUAUUGGAUGGGUGGAAAAAACCUUUUUUUGUCACUGGACGGUAGAAUUACUCUAAAACAGACCUAUUUGUUGCAUAUUCCUAACUAUUUCCUCUCUAUUUUCAAGAUCCCAUCUUUAGUGGUUUCUACGAUUGAGAAAUUGCAAAGGGAUUUCUUUUGGUUAAGAGGGAUCACCUUGUUAGUUGGGACCUAGUAUGCAAGUCAACGGUGGAAGGCGGUUUGGGCUUUAGAAAGAUUUCCUUAAGGAAUCAAGCUCUUUUGGGAAAGUGGUUUUGGAGGUUUUCUAAUGAAAGUCAUUCUCUUUGGCAUCAACUUAUUUUAAGCAUCUACGAGACACACACCAAUGGGUGCGACAUCAAUAUCAUAGUUAGGUGGUCACACCAUUCCCACUGCACAUGCUUUUUUAAGAGUUUCCAAAUAUACUUGUUUUGUGGUGGAUGAUGGGGCAAGAAUUCAUUUUUGGGAAGAUUGGCUAGCAGUGUGUAGUUCCAAUAGGAUGGUCUAGCAAAGAGAGUUUGUUUUUUGUAAUUACCAAUUAGCUUAUUGUUUUUGUAUUCUUGUUGUUUGGUUUUCUUUUGUGGGAGGAUUCCUCAUCCUUCUUUUGUACUUCUUAUUUCUAUCAAUAUAUUUCUUUGUUGUUUCCUAUAAAUAAAAAAAAUAAAAAAAUAAAAAAAAAUCUUCCCAUCUCAACCAUCCUAGGCAUUUCUUCCUUUUUUUCUUGGAAUCUUAAUUGUACAACCUCAAUGAUUUGGAUAUAGAGGACCUAAAAAUACUCAUGUCCUCUCUCAUUUGAGUGCACUUGACUCCAUCCAUCCCAAAUGCAAGAGCUUGAUCAUUAUCUUCCUCUAAUUUAUUUUCAAUAAAAUCUCUUUUCUUAGCAUUGCCUAAUCCUAUAGACAUGGUUCUUUUCACUAUAGCUAAAUUUCUACGAAAAUCUAAAGUCUAAUCUAAGGUCAAAGUCUUUACUUGGUUAGUGGCUCACAAGAAUGUAAAUACUAAUGAUAUGCUACAGUGGAGAAAACCUUAUAAAACCCUUAACCUUGAUCUGUGCAUUUUGUGCAUGAGAAUUCAAGAAACAACCAAUCAUCUUUUUUUAAAUUACAUGUUGACUUUAGGCAUGUGGCACAAGCUAUUCAUAUAGAGGUUCUUUUGAGAAGCAUAUGUGAUAUGAUGUUCAUCUCAUAUAGAGGUUUGGGAAGCUCCAUCAAAGGCAAAGUCCUAUGGAAAAUUGCUUGUUUCAUGUUGAUAUGGAUUGUGUGGAAAGAAAGAAAAAAAUGUUAGGAUUUUCGAGGACAAGAGAAGGACUUCAGAGACAAUGAAAUUUAAUUCAUUUCUAUUCAUCCUUUUGGGCAUCUUGUUCCAGGACAUUUAAGGGCAUUCCUCUCAAUGUUGUUCAGCUUGACUAGCAUUCGGUGUGUAAGUUAUAAGGGUUAGCUCAGAGAGAAGAGGAGAUUAGUUUCAAUUUCUAUUUGAAGUUGUCUUAAUCCUAACAGAGGUCGGAGGGGUAAGAGGUUUUUGUUGUAUAUUCUCAUAUGGUUCCUAUAUGGAUGUCCAAGUCUCUUUAGUUUUUAUGGAGAAGGUUUAAUCUUCCAUUUUUUUUACCAUUUUAUGUAAAUCCGAGGAUUCCUCAUCCUUCUCAUGUACUUGCUUUACCUAAUUUUAAUACUUUUAUUUCUAAUCCAAAAGCCUUAAAAAAAAAAAAAAAAAAAGCAAGCAUUGUCUUACACAAAAUUUGAACUAGACACAACCUCCUGAAUGCCUUAAAACAACAUUGUAAUUAAUAUCAUUCUCAAGCAUGGAGAACACAAAUAUCAUAGUCAACACUAUUCUCAAGCACAUGAACCCCUAUCCAACAAAAACAACUCAUAACAAUUUCUGCCAAGGCAAUACCCAGCUACUGCCUCCAGGUGGCAUGAGGUAAACAGCAGUAAACAAGUCAAUUUUCAUCACCCGUCAGUCCAUUUGGUCAUCACCAAAUAUUUCAGAAAAAAGAAAUAAAAAGCAAGCAAUUCAUACUGAAGGAAGAACUCCCUAGAGAUCAACUAACCAAUAGUUAGUAAUAGUUCAAUGUUAAGGGAAAAAGUACAUUGCAGACAGUCUCCAGCCUGAUCUGCUAGUUUGACAAAAAUAUCUAACAUAGGAUCUCUUAAUGCCAGUCAUAAGUUCUUUAAACUCAAAAACAUAUAGAAAACCACCAAAUAAAAUCAGCGGUGAACUUCAAAUUCCAAAAUAGCAGGCAAUAGGACCAUGGAAAGUAUGGUGCAAUGAGGAAAUAUGAGUCCCUGCCUUUCCAUUUAUUUCCACAAACAUUGCUCCCACUUGAACUUUACUUGGAAAAUUGAACUUGCAGCAAACUCAAUUGUGUGCAAAGAUUUCCCGUCAUUUGUCUAACUUUCCAUCAAUUUAAAAUCAUACAGAAGUUUCCUGCCUUUUUGUCCAAUACAAAGAGAGGUGCAUUCUCCUAUAUGUAACUAGCACCUCCCAAUGAUCAUGGAAGAAAGUACUUCUUUCAUAUUCCCCUAUAAAGCCAUGAAGCCUAAAGGACAAAACAAAUCCAGAACAUCUCUGUCAGAACAACUAAAUCCUCAAUUAAAAGAACCAAAAGAACUUCAGGAUCCAGUUCUAAAUUAGCAUCAGAACCUUGGGCAUAACCUCCAGCAGAAAUGCUAGAAUACUAAAAUGAGCAAUAAACAAUUCAACCACCUCAGAUUAGGAGGAUGAUCAUUUUAACAUUAAACCAUGUCUUCUUGCAAGACUACUAGGCACAUCUACAACUAUUAUCAGGAUAAUAACCAAAUAUGAGCCCACCUAAAAAUCAAUUUUAAUAUCAACCCCCGAUCCAGUGCCGGUCAAUCUUGAAAAAAUACCAGAGAUAUCUUCUUAAAAAAUGAAUACAAAAUUGAAUAAGUAUCAAAAGACAUAAUUGACCCAAAUGAUCACUAGUGGUCCUCUAGAAUAGCAUCAAAAACAAAAUGUAUUUAACAUAAUAUCAUAUACACCUCACGGCAGGAUUUGUUCGAGGAAUACCCACACCAUAUCCAUUCAUAUGGUACAACAGAUAUUGAGCUCUAGUUUAUUUUAUUUCCAUGAUGUCCAGGCUGCCUUUACUCAAAGUCCCCCCAAUAUUUACCUAGCUAGCCAAAACAGUAUGGAACAAGAUCCUGGUAUAUCUGUUAGAGACUUGCAAUAUAUUUCAAAUUUAAGAUUUUAUAUUAAGAAAAUCCAACUCCGAUAUGUCAGGCAUGCAAUUGUGUAGCAUCUUUAUCUCCAGAAAAAUCAUCAAGAUAAUCUCCACAAGAGCUUCCCAUCUCUUCCAUAUUUAAAAUUGUAACUUCUGUGCCACCAUCAAUAAAAAAAAACCUGAGUCUAUAACUUUUCACUUCCAAGAAACAAAUAGUCACCCAAUUUGUCUCCUUUUAAGCAUCAAUAUAAAGGAUCAUCCACGUAUAUACUUAACCCAGGACAUAGACCAUAAACAUGGCAAGAGAUCAGUUCCUGUGACUUAACAAAGUAGCCCAUAGUCUAAUGUCCUCUAGCUUUUCAUACCUAUGGCAAGCAAAGCAAGUAUCUAUCAAUAUCCUAAUCAUACAAAAAUUAAAAUAGUCUCUAGGUCAAGAUCCUUCCAAAAGAUAGCCUACACUAGACACAUAAACCUCCGAAUGAUCUGCCAAAUCAAGGGGAAAAAAAGUAGGAAAUUGCAGCUUAUAACAAAGAGCAGGUGGAAAGAAGAAUAAAAAGGAAGGCUGGUUUCAACUACUCUUUCAAGCGGCAACCAACUUGACCAUCAUUAAUGCAGUGCAUCCCAGAUUCCCGGUCCACCUAAACAAGGUCAGAACCUUUGAGAAAUUAAUAGAAGAAAUAACAUCACUGUCAGAAUGGAGAAAUGGAUUUCAGAAGCAUUUGAAUUACCGAAGGUUCUCGAGCUUUAAUAACAAUAGCCUCCCAGAGGAACUUGAGUUUAAUAAUAAUAACCGCCUCGAUAUGACCGAUCAUCUCUGUAAUAGGAAGGAUAUGCACCUCUAUCAUACUGUAACAUGAAUUAGAAGGCACAAUGAGUAUGUUAAAUAUAAGAUGUGAAUAAGGAUAAAUGAAGCAAUGAUUGCUUACAUCAGGACCAUAAUAAUCUUGUGAGUAGAGACUACUGCCAGCUUCAAAAUUAUCUAUCACAAAAAAGGCUUAUCAAUGAUAAUGAGAUAAAAGCAUUGACAGCAUGAAUGAGAAGUAAUCCAGAUAACGAGAAAUAAAAGUUCAUACCCCGAUAACGAGAUCCAUGAAAAUCAACCUCUGGGUCAGAGUAAUCCAGUCGAGGGCGAAACCUGCUUGGUUCCAUGUAACCAGGGUCCCAGUCCUAAAAGCCAAAGGCAAAGUUUCAAUCAAUAAAAAUGUUAUCUGUGGCACUCAAGACGCAAAAAUGUGUAUUUAUAUUUUUUUUUUAAAUGAAAGAGCCAUCUUACUUACUGGUAUAAAUGGUCGUUUUAUCCCACGUGCAUUGUCCUCAUAAAGAUAAGGGUCAUCAAAAUGCCUCCCAGAAAAAGAGUUGUCAAAGUCUUCUUCAGGGAAAAAUGGUUGUUGCCUAAAUGGGAAGUACUUCCCAUGACCCCUAUCAAUUGCACCAUGCCUGGGCCUAUCAAGAUUUGGUCUUGGUGGGACAGCAGCUGGAUAGCCUCCCCCAGAUCCCUGAUAAGCACCCCUCAAAGAACCCCUUCGUCCUCCUGUUUUUGUGCAGUAACAUAUACUAAUUGAGAACAACAUGUAAUCAUGGAGCUUGGAGUGUAUUGAUAUAAUAUCAAAUGCACAGACAUGCAAACACACACAGAAACAAACAGACAUGCACAAACCGGAAAAAUCAACUAAAAACAUUGACCUCUUCCAAAAAAGUGUCUCUCAUGGAACUCAGGGUAUGGACCAUCAAAAUCAGGUGCAUUGGGGAACCCCAAUCUACCAGUUGGACCAUAUUCACGUUGAUAGAAACCCCUGUCACGUUGAAAUUGUGCUCGGUUGAAGUGAUGUCCUCCCCGUCCAAAACCCCCCCUUCCUGUAAACAACAAUAACAGUCAAAAUUGUGCAAACAGUAAUGAGGAUUCAAUUUUCUUUCUUUCCUUUUUAGUUAUAGUAAUGAAGAUUCAAUCAUUCAAGAACUGUAGGCUUACCAAACUUUGAGGAAGAUCCAACACCACCAUGACCAAUCCGAAAUCCACCACACAAUCCCCCCUUCACAGCCUGAGUUUUGGGCAAAGGGUUUGAAAGCCUGACUUUCACUUUUGUCUACUAGUACAUAACAGCAAUAUAAUACACUAUGUUAAUACUAAAUUAAACAACAUGCAAUUCUAAGCAAUUAUCUACAGAAUAGAAGGAGAAUAUUGAUUAAAUUUUAAUAUAGCACUGUGGAAACUAUACAAAGAAAUAGAAAAAGAAGGUUAAUCAUCUUUUAUACAGAGGUUCUUCCCCUUCACCAGCUAUCCAUCUAAAAACAAUGCAAAGUCUUUAAAUAAAUGGCUUUCUAAUGUGACAUGGGAAUUUUCAUUUUUCAAAAAAGGAAAAUACUGCCAGCAAGCACACAGCGAUGGUACUAGAGUUGCUACCUUUGAGUUCCCAUCACACAAUUCUGUGUUGUUUACACUAUCAAUGCAAGAAAGAGCAGCCUCAUGAGUAGUGAAAUCAACAAAACCAAAAUCCUUCCUCUUGGCAGUCGACAUAUUACGUGCAAGCACAAUUCGUUCAAUCUCCCCAUAGCCUUUAAAUUGCUCUCUAACACGGUCUUCAUCCCAGUGAGGAGGGAGGCCAUCAACAAAUACAGACUUAACCUGUGCCAUGAUCUCCGGGUCUGGCUCACGUAAAGGUUCUGCAAAAGCUACUUUUGCAGUUCGCUCAGCAUGGCCAAAUAUAACAUCUGGUUUCUGAAGCCUCUUAUAUGCAAGCAUGGCAUCUGCAUGACAAGAGAACUCAAGGAAAGCAAAACCACGACUCAAUCCUUCAUGUUGAGGAUUUGGGACAAGAGUGAUGUUCCCAACACCUUCAAUGCCAUAGUCUUUCAAUUUUUGUUUGAUCUGUGAAUGAACAAAAUACCAAGAUGAGUUAACAAGCCUAAGAACUAAAUAGACUUUACAACCACAUGAAAUCUUACUGCUUCCUUCGUCCAUGUGUUGCAAAUAUUGCCUAAGAACAAUGUGUUAUUGUCCUCACUGGGUGCAGUUCCACAUCGCUUCCCACAAAUCUGUCAAGGACUCAAAAAGAAGAAAUCAGAACAAACUUUAAAAAUAUGUAACAACAAAGACACGUACAAAAAAAAAAAAAAUAGAAAACAAAGAAAGAUCCUUACAACGGGGUUUUUCAUUUCUGACAAAGCCCGGCUUGCAUGCUCCUUAUUAGCAAACUUUACAAAUGCAUAACCCUUAUUUUUAUUAGAUGACAAAUUCUUGUGCAAUCGAACUUCGACUACCUCUCCAAUCCUCUCAAAGACCUUUUUUACAUCCUCCUCCUCAGCAUCCCUAUCCAAUCCACCAACAAAUAUCUCGUGUGCUUUUGAUAUCUUCCGCUCCUUUGCAAUAGCAGUCAGUUCUCUGUGUUCUUCCUCCAAGGCCUCUGUUUCUUCUCCAGGAUCCACUGCAUCACUUACUGGAAGUUCUUCCUCAGGUUCUUCAAGUCCCUCUUCAUCUCCAUAGUCCAUUACCUCAUCACCAUAGUACUUAUCCUCCUUCACUGGGGCAUCUUCUCCAACUCUAGCCUCAUUUGUUUCUGCUUCCAUGUUAACUUGCUCAUUCUUAGUCUCUUCUUUAUCCUCAACAUGUUUUAUCUCCUCUCCCAAUUCUUCAUUCACAUCCGGCACUUCCUUGGCAAUACUGAUUUCUCCAUUAUCUGGAGAUUUUGCAACAUUCAAGGCAACAAUUUCUUCAUGCUCCGAAGUAUCUCUAGGAUUCUCGGUAGGAACGCCUUCUGGAUGACCAGAACUUGUUUCCUUCUUGUUGGAAUCUUCAACGUUUUUAACAACAGGUCCUUCCUUCUUUGCAGACUCAGUCCCUUCCUUCUCUGUAGACUCCCCCUCCUUUGCAGCAUCAACCCCUUCCUUCUUCACGGGCUCCUCGACCUUUGGUUUUAAAGACUCCCCCAAUGCAGGUGUCUUCGCAGAAACAGCUUUUACUGAAGGAGGAGUUCUAGCUUUUCCCGGCGUUUUCUUCACCACUGAUUUGGCACCUGAAGCUGCUUUCGUCUCUGGUGUUAUUAGAGACACAUUAGCUGCAGUUUUCACCUCUUCAACUACAUAUCAAACCGUUUGUGUUUGAAUCAAUAAAAAAAAAAACUCAAACCGUUUGUGUUUGAAUCAAUCAAACAAAAAAUUAUCUGCGUAAUGAUUCCAACGUAUGCUAAAAUUACAUACAUACUAAUAGACUCCCAUUUCCAAUUCUGAUUCUUUUAACAAUAAUUUCAAAUAUAAUUCCUGAUGUAUGGAAAUAAAUAGAUUAAAUUCUCCGCCAAUUACAUAUAUACUCUAUACUCUCACAUUUGCAAUUAUCAAUCCAUGUAAGGGAAAUCAAGAGUAACCCCUUCCUGGCUGCUGGAAAAAAUAUUGCAAAAAUAAAGAAAGAACCAAGAAUUUUUCUUUCUCAUUUUUUAUGAAUGAAUCAAAGGGCCCCACUGUGGAGCUCUAAUCCAACGAUUUGCAUCAUUUCAGUUCAUUUCUAAAAUUACACAAAACAUCAGGAAAUAAAAUUUCAAACUAUGAUUCUUCUAUUUUCCUUCAUUUUCUUCUAAGCAGCCAAACGGAUCGCAAAACUAACAUGGUAAAAUAGAUCAACAUGUUAAAAAAUAUCCACCAAACAAAACGACUCUUGUCAGAAUCCAGUUAUACCUGAUGCUCCAGUGUUCAAUUCAGCAGCCGCGUUCUGUGUCGAUGUCGGUGUAGUUUCGUUGGUCUUCACCUGCUUCCCUUUGGUUGCAGAGACACGCUUCGUCUCGGUUGAUUUCGGCGUCACCGAUCCUGCCCCCGUUUCGGGCGUGGUCUGAGGAGCCUUGCCGGCAGAUUUCUUAGCCUGCGGCGUCUUCUUUUUGGACGCCGGUUUGGGGGUUUCGGCAUUUCUAGUUCUCAUACUGGUUUGCAGCAGAAGAUUGAAACCCUGGAUGAUCAAAGGAUUUUGGGGAAGGAGCUUGGAACCCUAGAAUUGCCUAGCGAUUGAGAGAGGGAUGGAUUGCUUGUUUGGUAAGCCUGAUCAAAGACAAAGUGAGCAUCAGGGAUUAUACGAUUUACGGUAUGGCCCACAAUAGGUUAUUAAUUUUGGUUACUUCAUCCGUUACGAUAAUCCAACGGCUAAAAAUAUAUAAAACAUUUUUAUAAUUAACAUUUUUAAUAUACAAUUUGCCAUUUGGGUCACACUCGUUAAAAUAUAUUUAUGGAGACAUUAAAGAAGCCCCUAAAAAAGUGGCAUUUGCUAUUUGGGUCCCUCAAUUAGUCAAUAGUCACAGAUUCACGGUGGAGAUAUCCACAAAUUUCAUAACUUUUGGGGAGGUAAGUGUAAUAUCUUAUUCUAUAUUUUCUUCAUACGUCUUUUUCUCAUUUUCUGCCUCAGCAAAUCAGCAUCAAGCGGUAUUAUGUUCCAGUGAGUGAACCGCGAUCGUUCUUCCGAGGCUGUUGGCAGAGAAGCUCUUUCCCCCAACGAUCAUACUCCAACUCAUCUGAAUAAAUGUCAGCAAAAGAAAAAAAAUAGAGAAAAAGAAAAACCAUAGAAUCAAAUAAUAAGUCAUGGGUGCCUCAGAAUCCAUGCUCUCAAGUCCCCAGGUAAGUCUCCAAAUUCAAUCGAAUUUCUUUGCUCGCCGCUGCCUCUGAAGUUUCCCAUGCUCGUUUCCUCUACUGAUUUGUUGUUCUUUCACAAUACUGUUCAAUAUGAUUGAAGAGGGUCGGCGAUGAGAUCACCACCGUCUCCGAGAGAUCAGAAGAUGUAGAUCCCCUUUUGGAGUGCCUGAAAUCCCUCAAAAUUGUGAGAUUCUUCUUUUGUUUCUUUCACAAAAAAUAUUCAUAUUCUUGUCGCUAUUAAAAGAUAAAGUCAGGUUUCUGUUUGGAUUUUCCAAGUGGUUUUAGAAGCAAAAUUUUGCAAGAGAAGAAAAAGAUCCAGAACGAUAACCAAAUGGUACCAGUGUUCAACUUGGGUUUAGUGAUUCUUUUUUUUUCAAUGUUAAUAAAUGUUUCCAGGCAACACCGAUACUGACUUCACUGCCAACGGAGAGCAGCUUGACGGAUAUAUUGGUGAGGAAGCCAUCAUCUUCUUCUGUUUCAGGUGAAUUAUAUUAUCUUUCUUGAUCUAUGGAUCUUUCGUUGGGAGUUAUAGAUUUAGGACUUGAAGUAAGAGUUUGUUUUCGUUGCUUGGUCAUUGACUGUGGAAGUUUUGGUAGUUGGUACUAUUUUCUUGUCAAAAAUGGGAAAGGUCACACUCUAGGAUUGGGAAAGAAAAUAGAAAGUGCAAAUUGAAGAAAAAAAAAAAAGCAAAGGAAAAUGAGAAAUAGAUUUGAAAUUAGUAAAUUAGUUUACAUUUCACUUUUUUUUUUUCUCUGGACAAAUUAAAUAAUUUGAAAAUAUAUAAGUUUCUACCUAAUUUUACUUAUAUUUUUUUUUCUCUUGUACUUUCCAUGAUAAAUUAAAUAUGAGAAAAUCAUUUUCUUUAACAUUUUUCCCCUUUCCUUAGUACUUUCGAGAAGCAAACAUGCCUAAAAGAAUAAAGUGUAAUCUCAUUCACAAAUCUCAUGAUAUAUAAAGAAUUUGGGUUGCUGAUUUGCUGAACUUGGAAUUCUCUCUUUCAACGAUUCAACUCCCGAUAAUUAUUUAUAAGAAUUCUGGAGAGUAAGAUGGCACAAUUCAGUGAUCUUUGGAAAUGGAGGUACACUGACAAAAGGUUGUGGAUCUCUGGAAAAUGAACAAAUAAAAACCCUAGUCGGAAUGUUUUCCACCACCAUUUAUAUGGAGGUUACUUCUUUGCUUUUGUGAGAAAUUAAAGGUUGCACGAACCAAGGAUCAGAUGAGACAAGCUUUUAUGUUGGAUUGACCAUGUGUAAUGGAGAGUCGGAGACCAAUUGUCUGUCUCUCUAAGAUAUGAUUCAAGUUGAAGGAAUAAUAAGGGCAGGGUGCAGCUCAAAAACAUUGGCUUAUAACUAGAAAACUGAAUAUAUGGCCCUAGAGAACUAAAACAGAACGUUUCUAUGGAGAAUUCAACCCCUAAUCCAGGAACUCUCCUAUAUAUUUGCAUGUGUAUCCUUCUAACCAUACAUGCAUAGAAGUUCUCAUCAUGUGUUUGUUUGAGUGGAUUAUUAGAUAUUCAAAGCCAAUUAUUAGUCUCUCUUUCUCUAUGACUGUAUAGGUACUUUAAAUCCAAAGGUGCUACUGGAGCUCUUCUCGAUGUAUCGUGAUUGGCAAGAGGAGAAAACACAAAAGAUUAGCAAGGAACAGGUCUUCCCUGACACUUUUUUUUUUCUUUGGGAGUUCAAGAACAGUGCAGUAUGCAUUUUAAGAGUUUGGUAUGGAUAAGGCUUAGGGUCGAUUGUACAAUCUAAACUUUUUCAAUCUAUUUAUCUGCAUAGAUCUGGACACAAAUCAGAAUUUAAUUUUGGGAGUUACAUCUGCUUUGUAGGCUUCAACAUAGAUUUUAGAUCUCUGAAAAAAUCUAAUCUGGCUUAGAACCUAGUUUUUAAUCCUUUUCAAGGAUGUUUUGUUGAUAACAUACUUAGAAAAAUUAAUGUAAGGUUUAUCCAACCACCAUAGCAAGUAUCCAUUGAAACCCAAUGACAGGAUUUGAAUCUGAUUUGAAUCUUCACUUCAUUACUGACAUCAAUUCCAAUUUCCAAAUUCUACUUGAUCCAAGCUUGGACCCGUGUUUCAGGAUUAGAUUCUCAUGCCAUAACAACCUCACUCUAAUUAUAAAAUGUUACUCUCACCUACUUAACAGAUAAUAAAAUCAGAAUUGAAAAGGCUCAAUUAAAAGUUUAAUCUUUUAGAAACACUAUGUCUUUUUCCCCCUCUUAUCUUAAAUCCAUUGGAAGGGGACAACAGUGGAAACUGGUGCAUUUAAAUGUCAGUAUCAGCCAGUGGAAGAAAGCUGCUUUUGAUCUGAAACAAUCUGGUGUUCUGAUUCUUAUUGCUUGUGAAGUGGAUGACUCUACCUGUGAAAACCUUGUAGGGUGCAUUUGGUAGAUGUGAAUAGAAAUAGGAAUAGGAAUGAGAAUGGAGAUGAACCAUAAACAUUUAAAAGAGAGGAAUCAAAAUCUUGACAGAAGUGGAUUUUGGUUUCCAUGAGAUUGAACUUUCAAUUUGUAUUCUCAUUUCUAAUAAGUUAUGAAAAUGCAAUAAUAAAUAGGAAAUUUCCUAUUCUCAUUCCUUAUUCCAGUGUUUCAAAUAUGCCUUUUGUGGCUGGCAGGAUUAGGAAGCUUGUGUUGCUGAUGUUUAAGAAUUAGGAUUGUUCAUAUUUAUCAAAAAAAAAAAAAAAAGAAUUAGGAUUGUUCAUGAUUUAUAUGAUACUAGGGAACAUAACUUGUUUACCAUCAUUUCCCUGUAAAAACUUGGAUGUUUUUAUUGUGCAUGUAUUAUAAUGUGGUAAAUAUUGUUGCAGGAAGAGAUAGAAAACAAGAUAGAGGUUGCAGAUGCUCUGGCAAUUAAACUUCAUCAACGGUUCAAUUUCUCGGUCUCAGCAAUGAAGACAACUUCACAUCAUCUAUCAGAAGGUAACCUACCGUCUUCCGUCCCUCAUCCCCAUUAAAAGUUUAGCUCACCUUCCCAAUAAUAGUAACUAUUCAGCCUAUCAUUAUCAUAGCAUGGAUGAAAAUUUGGGCCAUGAGCAAUUUAAUUAAUUAACGGAUCAGUUGCUCAAUGACAGAAAUGUAAUAUAAGUAUGGUUGGGCCACUGAAUGGUGAAUCUCAGUUGUAUACCAGAUGAAGGGAGACAUGUAAAUUGGGACCUUACUUUUGUGGAAUCUGCUGAUGUUUCUUACUUUCUGAGCUGAUACCAACUUUAUGGAAUAUGCUUGUAGUUCAUGCAUUGCAAGUGGAAAUUGGUGAACUGAAAGGGAGGUUGACGGAGGUAAUAAGUAACUGUGAUGCUUUAUGCAAGAGAAUUGCCGCGGAGGGGCCAGAAUCUCUUCGGGCAUCUAUCAAACCAUUUGCUGCCGCCACUUCUGAUCUAGAAACCAGCUUUCGCUCAUCUUCUGUACAAAGAGUUCUGGAUGCCAGCCAGCCGACUACAGAAACCAAACCAAAUUGAUUUCCAUUAUUUCAUUCGUGUUUAUAUUCAAGGGUUUUUAAGUUGAUCGAUGCUCGUCUUCCUCCACUGUUAUUUAUCGGCAAUAUGGUCUUUUCAAUUUGUUCAGCUUGCCAGAUUGUCCUCCGGAGGGGCAUCUUUUCCUCACAUGAUUGCGAAGAUGAAUAUGUCAGUCAUAUUUUAGUUGGAGACCGAUCCACCUGUGGUUUCUUUUACCUUCUAAAGUACAACUGAAUCAUGAAACCAUGGAUUGCAAACAUGUAAUUAAUGUUUUUUCUUUCUCCCACUAAAAAAAAAAUGAAAAUAGAGGAGAAUGAUAAAAAGGGCAGAAGACUAUAGAAGAAGCCCCACCGACAUCUUAGCUUCUACAUGGAAUAGGGGGGGUUGCACGUAUGCGAAACAAGAAACAUUGCUCAGGACAAGUGGGUCCAAAUGAAUUCGCCCAAAUUUUCUUUUGUGAUGCAUCCUAGUAAGGGCAUGUUGAACCAGGAUGCCCUGCCAUUGAUCUUGCCGACAUGGAGGAAGUAACAAUUGGAGCGUAGUUUAUCAAUAUCUAAACGCAUCUCAAAUAGAUUUCAAACACAUUUUUUAGACGAAUCCAGAAGCAAUUCGUUGAGGAAAAAAAUGACCAAAGCGUAGGCAGAUCCCAGAAUACAAAUAAUAGUUCAAUUAUGGAAUUACCGAAAUUGUAUGAAUGGGUUUAACAGUAAAUCUAAAAACCCGUAACAAGAAAGAACAAAUAAAAAUAGGGAAAUUACAAUAAACACCAAUAAUAAAUACCCAUCUUCGAAAUCAAGCUAACUAUAUUAGACCUAAAACCUUUGAAUUCAAACAACCGAGAAGCAGAUUGGCUUUAUAUGAAAGCAAAAUUGGAGGAAGAAAUAGGUUGAAUCAAGGCUGCUGCUGUGCGUCCAUAUAGCCCGCGUCCACAAGCACCUUCUCCCUCUUAGCCAAUUCAAUAUCCUCAUCAACCAUCAUCUUCACCAACUGCUCAAAAUCCACCUUAGGCUUCCAACCAAGCACCUUCCUUGCUUUGCUAGAAUCACCCUUAAGGUUAUCAACCUCAGCAGGUCUAAAGUACCUCUUAUCAAUCACCACAUGAUCUCUCCAAUUCAACCCCACAGACCCAAAUGCCACCUCCAAGAACUCCUCCACCGUGUGUGACUCCUCCGUCGCCACCACGUAAUCGUCCGGCUUCUCCUGCUGCAGCAUCAUCCACAUCGCUUCCACAUAAUCCCCCGCGAAACCCCAAUCUCUCGAAGCCUGCAAAUUCCCCAUGAACAGUUUGCUCUGCAACCCAAUCUUGAUCCUCCCCACGGCUCGUGUAAUCUUCCGCGUCACGAAAUUCUCACCCCGCCGUGGGGAUUCGUGAUUGAACAGAAUCCCAUUGCAGGCGAAGAGCCCGUAGGCUUCUCGGUAGUUCACGGUGUACCAAUGAGCGGCACAUUUAGAGGCCGCGUAAGGGGAUCGGGGGUGAAAUGGAGAGGUUUCCGAUUGGGGAGGCGAAGUGGAUCCGAACAUCUCCGAGGAUCCGGCUUGGUAGUACCGAAUGUGAGAUCGGCCGGUGGCCAUGAUGUGGGAUCGGACGGCUUCGAGGAGGCGGAGGGCGCCCGUGGCCACCACAUCGGCGGUGUAAUCCGGGAUCUCGAAGGAAACGGCGACGUGGGACUGGGCAGCAAGGUUGUAGACCUCGUCGGGGGCGAUGGUGUCGAUCCAGCGGCGUAGGGAGGAGGCGUCGGAGAGGUCGGCGUAGUGGAGCUUCAUUCGAGCUUUAUGGGAGUUGUGAGGAUCGAUGUAGAUGUGAUUGAGGCGUUGGGUAUUGAAAUUGGAAGAUCGUCGGAUCAGACCGUGGACUUCGUACCCCUUGUUCAGGAGAAACUCCGUUAGAUACGACCCAUCCUGCCCCGUUAUGCCGGUGAUCAGAGCUAUCUUCCGCUUCGGUGGUUCUAGGGCUUCGCCGCCGUUGAUUGCCGCGGCAGAUCCGGACCCAGCCGUCUCUUUUUCGGACGCCAUUGCUUUGAGUCGUCGUCUGUGUCGAGGCUUAGAAAAAAACGGGAGAGAGAGAAAAUGAGACUAAAAUUGAAUUUGGUCUGUUUAAUCGGUGAGGGUGUUGUUGAAAUAUAAAGAGCGCUUGUGAUGAGAAAGUUUCUGCAUGCUACACGUCGGCCUGUCUCUGAUGUCUGAGGUGGUCAAUAGCAGUUCGCCAAAUCAGGGAUUUAAGGUCAAAAAUGUAAUUUGGGUGGACAAAAGCAUGUGCAGAGUGGUGGCCGCAAACAGCUGUGCUUCUUAAAUGACCAAUCCACCCUCUCGGGCUUUGGUGCGGUGGGAUGUGAUUGGGGGAACCAGGGAGGGGCGACGCCUUUUGUCAGCAUUAUAUUUCAACCCCCCUCUAUACCCUCCCUUCGUGGUUGCACGGUUUCCUUGCAACACCAUUUUAGCCUGCCAGCGUGUACUUUUUUCUUUUUUUAAUUAUCUAAGCACCGCGGUCAUGUGAAUAGAAAGAGUAAAUAAAUAAAUAAAAUAAAAAAUUAACACCUAGAAGGUAAAAAAAAUGCAUUCCCAUGUUUAAUAAUAAUAUUAUUGUUAAGUUGUAAAUUUUUCACUUUAAAUUUAUAAAAAAAAAAAAAAAAACAUCCUCAAGCCUUGAGAAAUUCUCUGUGCUUCUUCUUUGUAUUCCUACAGCUUUAUAAUUUACUUUUGCAAUAUAUUAUCAUCAUACUAAAACCAUUCAACCUUAUAAAUGAUUUUUUUAUCUUUUCAAAGGCAAUUUCUUCGAUAUUGAUUCAGGAUCAUAUAGAGUAAGAUUUGAAAAUUACCUCUAUUACUAUUUUUUUUUUUGUUUUUUUAACAUUUUCACCCUUUUUUUCCUCAAAAAAAAAAUAUUGUUUCCUCUCUUUCCUAAUUCAGUUCCUUAUCAUUUUUAAUAUUCAACUCUCUCCCUCCUUCAAGAGCUUUGACCCAAAAUAGUGCGUUUAAAAAAAAAAAUCCAAAAAAUAAAAUUGUUUUUAAAAUAAUGUCCGAUCUAAUGCGUCUGUGCCACAUAAGCUGCCAUGUCAUAAAACCGUAGUUGGUGACUACGGUUUUAUUUUUUUAAAGUGGUUAAAAACCGUAGUUACCAACCACGGUUUUAACUUUAAGUUUAAAGCCGUAGUUGGUUAGUUGGUGACUACGGCUUUGACUCUUUUAAAAUGGUCAAAGCCGUAGUCACCAACUGCUGUUUUAACUUUAUAUAUAUUUAUAUAUAACUUUAAUUUUUUUAAUAAAAAUAUUAUAUUAUUUUGAUUUUAAAUAUACUUAUUUCAUUAUUUUAAAAAUAAUAAUAUAUGAAAUUAUAUAAUUGAUAUUUUUAAUUUGAUAAAAAUAUAUUUUUAAAUUUUAUUAAAAUAAUAUACUCUAUAUUUAAUAUAAAUAUAUUUAGUUAAUUAUAUUUAAAUAUAAAUAAAAUAUAAUAAAUUAUGAAAGCCUAUUAAAAAACAAAUAAUAUAAAUUAUUAUAUUAAUUAAUAAUUUUUUAUAUACUAUAUGUAAGUGGUAUAUAAUGUCACAUGUAUAUAAGUUCAAUUAAGUUUAAAAUUUAUCAUAUUUUAAUUUAAGUUCAUAAUAUUAUAUCGAUAUGAUAAUAAUUUAUUUAUAUAUUUAAAUAAAUAUGCUAAAUUUUAAACUUAAAUUAAACUUUUAUAUAUAUAUAUAUAUAUCUGUGUGUGAUAUUAUAUACUACUUACAUAUAAUAUAUAAAAAAAUUAUUAAUUAAUAUAAUAAUUUAUAUUAUUUUUUUCUCCAAAUAGGCAUUUAUAAUUUAUUUAUUUUAAAUAAACAUAAUUUAUUAUAUUUUAUUUAUAUUUAAUUUUAAUUCAAUAAUUAUAUUUAUAUUAAAUAUAGUAUCAAUUGUUUUAAUAAAAUUUAUUUAUAUAUUUAAAUAAAAAUGUGAUAAAUUUUAAACUUAAAUUAAACUUAUAUAUAUAUAUAUAUGUUUUAAAGGUCCUUCCCAGAGAUGGAAAGGCUGCUGAUUCAUCUGUAAUAAUAAUAUAGUCCCACUGGACUAUCCAAGUAAGGCCAAAUUUGAUGAAGAAGAAUAGUAAAGGGGGAAAAGCUGAAAGUUCUCUGGGGAUAUCAAAAGAACUUCUGAAUAGCACAAAGCCAUCCAGAAUGGGCUUAGGAAGAAUCUUAAUAGUCGGACCAUAAUAAUUCCACCAACUGUAGAACCAAAAUGGGAAAGAGGAAAACUGAUUCUUAGAUGGAAAAUAGAACAUCCAUGAAUGAUGGAAGUCCCUAUUCUGGAUCAGAAAAGCAUUAAACCAUGCUCUCUGAUAAUCCCAAUAAUUAAAAAACCUUGGCUUUGAUGGUUCAGAAAAUUCCCUUGAAAGAUUAGGAUUUCCUCCCCAUUGCUUGACAGUAAGAAUCUUAUAGAUAUGGCAGGUGGAGAAUGCCAAACCCAUAUUGCUGAAUUUGUCUGCAUUAUGCUUAAUUUUAACAGAACCAGUUUCUGUAAGAACUGCUUCAUAAAACUCUCUUGUUCUUAAAAUAUUACUAGAGGGAUAAUGAAAAUUUUCUUGAAAAGCUUUUGCAGCACUUUCUCUGGGGUUUUCAGAGAAAAAUUCUCUUUCUAUAACCAAAAGAGGUUGAUUUAAAUCAUUUUACCAAUAUCUUGAUUUUGUUGAAAGAGGUGUGGGGUUGGCAGCCACCACAAUUUGCUUGUUUGAAAAAAAGGAGUUUGAUGUUAAUUCCUUUUGAGAGGGAUUAACCUUAAUGACUUGCUUGAAGGUCUGAGACCCUGAAAUGGCUGGAUACUAAGUGGCCUUGACUGGAUUAGUUGGAUCGGAAUGAUCAUAGUACAAGGUCAUCAUCUUAUUAGGCAUAGGUUUAGAAUGCCAAACCCAUAUUGCUGAAUUUGUCUGCAUUAUGCUUAAUUUUAACAGAACCAUGUAGGCGGUACAAGAACAUAAAAUAAAAUGAAAAACAAAACUUAAUUAUAUAUAUAUAUAUAUAUAUAUAUGUGUGUGUGUGUGUGAGGUAUUAUAUACCACUUAUAUAUAAUAUAUAAAAAAUUAUUAAUUAAUAUAAUAAUUUAUAUUACUUUUUUAUUUUUCUAAAUAGGCAUUUAUAAUUUAUUUAUUUUAAAUAAAAAUAAUUUAUUAUAUUUUAUUUUAAUUAAUUAAUUAUAUUUAUAUUAAAUAUAGUGCCUAUUGUUUUAAUAAAAUUUAAAAAUAUAUUUUUAUAUCAAAUUAAAAAUAUCAAUUAUUUAAUUUUGUAUAUUAUUAUUUUUAAAAUAAUGAAAUAAGUAUAUUUAAAAUCAAAAUAAUAUAAUAUUUUUAUUAAAAAAUUAAAGUUAUAUAUAAAUAUAUAUAAAGUUAAAACCGCAGUUGGUGACUACGGCUUUGACCAUUUUACAAAAAAAAAUCAAAGUCGUAGUCACCAACUAUGGCUUUAAACUUAAAGUUAAAACCGUGGUUGGUAACUACGGUUUUUAACCACUUUAGAAAAAUAAAACCGUAAUUACCAACUACGGUUUUAUGACAUGACAACUUAUGUGGCACAGACGCAUUAGAUCGGACAUUAUUUUGAAAACAACUUUAUUUUUUGGAUUUUUUUUUUAAAACGCACUAUUUUGGGUCAAAGCUCCUCCUUCAAUAUGAUCUUUUCCUUUUUCAGUGAAGUUUAAACCUAAGUUUAUGUUCGUUCUCUUUUCAAUGAAAUUCAAAUAUUUCAACAACGAUCAGCAAAUGAAGAUCAUAAUCGAAUUCAUUUUAAAAAUUAUAUAUCAAAAUUCUCUCAUCUUUCUUUUUUAUUCAAGAUCUUUCAUAUUUUUUAUCGUUCUCUUUAUUUCUUUUUUUAUGGAUUUUUUUUGUAUUUGUUUUUUGUUAGGGUUUUUUAUAAUUAUGUUUUGUUAGAUUUUUAUUUUUUUAUUUAUUAACAAUUUCAUUUAAACCUCUACACUGUUUUUAUUGAGGUUUUUUGUGGUUAAUUUUUAUUGGAUUUUUUUACAAUUAUUUUUAGUUAGUGAUGAAUAAUAAGAUUUUCGAUUACCUUAUGAAAUGCCCAAGAUCCAAAUUGGUUGUUUCACUAGCAAAAUUUCCCGCCUCAAGUCAUUAAUGAAACUACGAAUACGAGAACCAUUUGUUUUUAAAAGGGCAAGAGUCUUGACCUUGUUUCACUAAGAAAAUUAAGAAUAACUUCAAGAGAUGGCCUUUUUGUUUCUUUAUAAGAAUUAUAUUCUUACUUUUAUAUUUUCCGGAGAGAGAAUAAAACAUAUUUCUUCUCUUUGUGGUUUUUAGGAAGAGAAAAGUCAAAAUAUCUCGUUUUUUAGGAGAGAAUUCUCAUCGAGAGAGUUUUCACUGAGAAAAAUAAAUAAGUAAAUAAAUAAACUAUUUAUUUAUUUAUUUUUAAUAGUGACAGUUUUUAAGUAGUUUUAAAACUCCUAGAAACUACUCCCCCAUUUCUUCCCAUUAAUUGGAUCAGGUCAAGUCAAUCCACUUGAACACCCAAACCAACUUCAACAGUUAGAGUUUUUCGUAUUUGAUGCUUGAGAAAUAGUAGUCUAGCAUCAAAAUUUCAUUCAUGGUACGGAUGAAUAUGAUUUCAUAAUUUUGGUUUUGAAAUUAAAUUAUAAUACUUUUUACAAAUAAAUAAAUAAAAUUAAGUAAAAAUCUCCAAUGUGUUUAUUUUGAAUUGUAAUUUCAUAUUUUGAUGCUUAAUACGAGAGCAUAACACAUUUCUAUUUAAUUAAACAAGGCAACACACCACAUAACAAAAAUAAUUAUUUUUAUUAGGAAUUGGUAGAUCAUUUUGCAUGGUGUGUAACUAACAUGGAGUGUAGGUUGCAAUGACUCGUGAUCCAACAUGGGCGACUCUGCUUGCUCCAGUAAAACCAAGCUUUCCAAUGGUGAGCCAUUAAUUGAUGGCUCCUAACAGUCUAGUUAGUGGUGGAAUUAACAAAGUAGGAAUGGAAUAAGAGGGGGUCCCUGGGUAAAUAGAUGGAAAAUAUUUAUAUUGUUAAGAUAAUCUUUCGUAUCUUUUAGAAUAUUCACUUAUUGAAUACCCUUAAUCAUUAAGUCAUGAAGGCCAUUUAUAAAUAGGUUCGACUAUGGUUGGCUUAGCUUAUGAUGGUUGAGCUGAUAACUUUGAUUAGUUUAGUAUUCUUUCCUCUACCUCUACCGUGCACAUGGAUGGUGGUGAUUUUCUUAAAGGAUAGUGGGAAAUCAUGUAUGUUUAAUCAAUUUGUUCAUGCCCAUAACGAGUUGGAGUCAAUCCCUUCAUAAAUAAGUCAAAGCAAGUCAUAGGUCAUACACCAUAGGGUGGAGGAUAGUGAGUGAAGGCCCAUUGCUUUAGCGGGUUUAGUUUGUACUUGGAUUGAAUCGUACUAAAUUGUCAUACUUAGAUAUAUGGAGCAAGGUGAGAAGAAGAAUAGCAAUAUGGUAUGAAAGAAUGUUUUCUAUUUACAUUCCCGUCUCUUAGAAAGAGCCACUAAACGAUCGAACCAGACAGGUGCAAGUAGCUUGACCACCUUACCCGUCAUUGAAACACAAGUUAGAGACGUAUCGACCUAUAUUCCCACUAAUAUGAUCCCCAUUACGGAUGGAUAAAUCUGUUCGGAAACAGAGUUCUUUUAUUGCUGAAUUAAACCUGCUAUUAACAUUGGCUUAUCUGUCAAUCGCGUCGAGUCUACCGCUUAGUUAAAAGCUAUGAAACAAGUUUGUGAUAGUUUAAAAUUGGAAUUAACACAAUAUCGCAAAGUGGUCGCCCUUACUCAAUUUGGAUCAGACCUUGAUGCUGCGACUCAGGCAUUACUCAAUAAAGGUGCAAGGCUUGCAGAAGUCUCGAAACAACCACAAUAUGCACUACUUCCAAUUGAAAAACAAAUUCUAGUCAUUUAUGCGGCUAUCAAUGGAUCCUGUGUAUAAUGGCCGAAAAGGAGGGAAGGCUUGAAGUAUAAUGACUUUUGAGCUCAUUCCCUUUGGUCUCUCCUAAAGAUCUAUGAUUUGGCGGUGAAAAGGAUAUAUAACUUGGAAGCAACAUAACCAUAACUCCCAAAAUGAAAUAGCGGCUAGUGAUAACUCCUCUUCUUUUCUUUUCUUUUUUCCUUUUUCCAUUUUUCCUUUUUAGAGAUGACUACAAAAUUUAAUAGUUGGUCUUGUAAACUUAAUUUGUGCUUUAUAAAAUCAUCAUUCUUAAUACGAAUAAAAAGUUUCACUAGUUUAUAUUGCAAAUAAAUUGGACUAAAAAUAAUAUUUUUGAUGUGUAAAUUGGACUAAAAAGAACGUUAAUCAGGGAAGCGGUGAAAGGAAGGGAAUAUAUGAUAUAUUAGACGGUAUCGGGAGGAGGGCAGGGCGGCCCACGAAAGCAAAAGGAAACCUGGGCGAAACGCAAAAGGGAGAUUUAGGGAGCAAAGCAAAAGAAAGAAUCAGAGGUGGAGUGAUCAGAUUUCACAAGAAAAGGGGAGCAGCCCCAAUAAAAUAUACUAAAUAUACUAAAUAUUCUCACCCUUUUGGUAUGGGUUCGCCAACGCAUCGACUAUCAGCUGUUAGGUGGUUGCGCGUAAGCAAAACAGGAAACAACACUGCACCAAAAUCAAAAUAAUCGAAAUUAGAAAAACUCCAAACAAAACAAAAGUGGCCUCUAGGGUUCCAUAUCAAGCAACAUCACAAUUCUCGUCUUCUUCUGUUCUUGUUCAAAAGCUCUGCACCACUGUGCAAGAUCUGGCUCGCAUUAUCGCAAGUGGAGUGAUCGAGGUUUCGGAAACUCGGUUGCAUUGUGGAAUCGGUCUUCGGUAUGAAGCUAUCGAAGAGUUCGAAGAAGGUUUCUUGGGCUCCCGAUGCUAAUCUGUGUCAGGUAUAGCCGCGGCAUCUCCAAUUGGAGUGUCUAGUUACCAUAUCAAAUCACAUUUGAAUGUUUAUUUUAUGUUCGUGGUUCUGAUUUCUUCGUUGGCAGGUGGUUCUCAGUUUUGAUGCUCUCUCUUUAGGGUUUCGAAAAUGUUUUUUUGUUAUAAGUCUGCACUUGAACGUGGUUCUUUUUUCCCUUUUUAGUGCUUCUAUAGCUAUUCUCUUCAUAUCUAUGGUUUUUCUAGCCGGUUGUUCUGUUUUUGAAGUUCCAUGGUCUACUUAUUUUAAGCUUCGUUUAUUGAUUCCCUGGUGCUUAUGUGUUUCUUUAGCUAACCAUUCUUUUGGUUGCUGAGGAAACCGGGAAAGAAAGUGGAAGAACACCCUGUCUUUGCCGAUCAGGAAUCUAGUUAGUGGAAUGAAGAUUCCUUUUUGUUUCUUUCAACUUGUGUUUUGUUUUGUGAAGUAUCGAAAAAUGAAAGAAUUUUCUAUUUGCACAUUUUUCCCGAGCGUAAGGUGGGGUUCGACCACUUCUGGGUGUGGAAUUUACAGAUGUUUUCUGUGUACUUUGGGGCGCUUUUGGAGUUUCUCUUUUUAAUACACGUUUUCCUUUUUACCUAUCAAAAAAUAAAAUAAAAUUUAUAGAUGUUUUCUAAUCUCUCCAAUGUCCGCCAAUUCAUUCCCUUAGGAAUUCCAUUUGUGGCUAAUAAUGGAAUUUCAAAAUUUUAAUGUGAAUCCUUUUCUUUUCACCCCAAUCCUCUCAUUCAAAACACAAUGUAAAAGAGAGGUAAGAGUCUUAUGCACUGUUUUUGUUUCUUGAAAUUGAUAAUUCAACCCAAGUAAAAUAGUAGUAUUGGGCUCUAAGUAAAUGAAGUAAUUUUAUUUUCUUGGAGUCUGAAUAUAAAAUAGAGUCUUAUCCCCAAUAUUGUAAAAUUUUAUCCACAAUUAUGAUUUUUUUCCCUAUACAUUUUUCUUAUAUGGAGUCUGAAUGUUUCACAGCAAGUCAAGGUUUUCAUUUUUAACAAAGUUGGAAAAUGGUGUUUUAAUUGAUGAUUUGUCAGUUAAGUCAUUCUUUUUUGCACCAAAAAAAAAAAAGAAAAAAAAAUUGUUGUCAUUUUUUAUGAAUUAAGAUGAGACGAUCUCCACUGAGAACGACCACAGAACAAUUCAUCGCUUAGAUUAUCAUUUUUAGUGCAAUUUUAUUAUUUACAUAGAAAUGAGAAUAGAAAUAUGAAUGCUUGAAAUUGAAAUUAAGAAAUCUCAGACAAAAUUCUUUGGGAGCCUGUGUGGGACAACUUCCUACAGUGGUGGUGCAACAGAAGUGCUUAAUCUGCUUGUGAUCAUGGAUCAAUGUCCAGGUGCUAUUUUUAACCACACUGAACACCCAGCAAGACAACUAAUUUUCCUUGAAAACCUAUGGUUGAUUAAGUAUAACAUUCAAUCAUUCAUCGCUUAUAGUUCCCUCAAGCCUUUUUUUGGAAAGGUUUCAACUCCCAACUACAUUUUUUUGUCUGAUUUCUAAACAUAUCCUAUCCUCCAGUCAAGGAAAAUUAUUAAAUGCUAGUGAAGAUUUAACUUCUAAGAAUCAAUAAUAAGUAUUUGUAUCAUGCAAGUCACCAAGAGACUUUAAGACUUAGGUUGCAUCUAUGCAAAAAUAAAUAAAUAAAAAUUAAAAAAACCUUCAGAAAAGAAGGAAAAUUCUAUAACUUAAAUGUAUUUUUUUCUCAAGCUAUUUUCAGAAUUUCCUUUUUCUACUUGUUGCAUUAUUUUGGAAAUUCAGACAGAGCCUAAAUAUACUUAGGAAUAUAAAAAACUUCAAUUAUUACAUACCUUGGACUCAUGAAAGGGGUUCUUAAAUAAGGGAUUAUGGUUCCCGAGAUGGACUUCUUGGAUAGUGUUGCAAACUUGUAAUAAGUUUCUUUCUCUCUAUUCAGAGAUUAUGAAAUACAGAUUGAUUUGUGGUAACUCUUGGAAAAUGAGAAGAUCAAUAAUGAACAAUUGCCUAUCAAUAUGGACAAAAAAACAAUAUGUAGUAAUUUCAACAAUAUGAUAGGUUAACAGCCUAUUUGGCAAUCCAUAGCAAUCCUUGUCUAUUAGGUGUAAAAUCGGUAUUUAGCCUAUCCAAAAAAAAUAAUAAUAAUCCUUGUUUAUUAGGCUCUUCGAUUAUGUGUCAUUUUAACCCAGGACUUUAGACAAUCUUUCAAUUCCAAAAUCUCAAUGAGGACAUUGCAUUACCUGCCAUAAGAUAUUAUCAAAUCAAGAACUUUAUCCUUUUUAUUAAAAGAAUAUGCAUUUAAUGAAGUAGAAUCACUCAUGUAGGGGAAUAGGUAGAAUAAUACUUUUUGAGGACCAUAUAAAUCUAAUAGUUGCUAUUUCUGGCUAGUAAUUUUGCCAAAUAUGAGAUGAGGAGUGUGUGGAAUACCCAUCUGAGCAAUAAAUGCAUAGUAUGAUCAAAAGGGACCCAAAUUUAUUUUAAAUUUUGCUAUUAUCUUGAAAUUUUGUUCCAUUUACUAUUUAAGUUUUGGUAUAAAUAUAUAGAAAAGAGUUUUUAAAAACAUUAUGUAUGGAUUUUAAAUCAUACAACUUUAUCAACCUAACCAACUUGAACAUAAACUAAACUCAACCCGAGUUUUAAAAAAAUGGGAUUGUGUUAGGUUUGGGUUGAGUAUCUCGGGUUAAAGUUCAGGUUGGGUUAGGCUGGGCUGGGGUUGAAUGUUUCUUAAUUUGGGUUUGUCUUGGGUUAGCUAUCAACCCAACCCAACCUGCCCAAGUUAUAGUCCUUAUGACUCAUUACAAUCCUAAUGGUUGGGAAAGGACCUCCGGACAUAGAUUCCAUUGAGUCAUAAGAAGAUUUAAUAGUAAACUUUCCAUCCUUGGCAUCCUUUAAACCAACUUAUUUCACAAUCCUUACAAAACCAUCAUCACUUGAGUUAGCUUAAGAAAGAACUCCACAAUUUGCAACUCCCAAGGCUUCCAACAUCAAGUGCCACCUACCUCCUCCCAAACAUUGGCUAUCUAAAUUGAUAAUGUGAAAUAAAUAUGGUAACUAUUCAUUUAACAUCACAAGUCAUGCCAAAACCGUACUCUCCUUCCAUCAUGCACUACAAGUUUGAUUGUAGUUUGAAACUCCUCCAACCCUCUCCUAAUUGCUUUCCNNNNNNNNNNNNNNNNNNNNNNNNNNNNNNNNNNNNNNNNNNNNNNNNNNNNNNNNNNNNNNNNNNNNNNNNNNNNNNNNNNNNNNNNNNNNNNNNNNNNACCCUCUCCUAAUUGCUUUCCAUAAGCCCGUUUUAUAACUUCCCUCCCGUCUUGAGCACAUCACCCACCUACCACUUCUCCAAACAUACCAAAGAUAACUUGUCUUUGCAACCUAUUCUUAUUUGUCCCAUAGUUUGAAAGCCACUUUCCAAUAAGAGGCUUUCGUGAGUAAAGACAUGUUUUUAUUAUCUAAGCCACACUUAUUUGUUUCAAAGUGAUUCUCUAAAGUACUUCCAUCCCACAAAAAGUUCAUGUUGAGUUUCUAGUCUCAAUUGCACCAUCCUUAAAAUAACAAAAAAGGAUAAGAGUUUGUAGGCGAGCUAGACAACAUACUCUUUAGAAGGUUAGUCUCCAAUCCUAAGAAAGAUACUGAUGUUUCCAAGAAGCCAACCUUUUGUAAAACUUCUCCUUCACCGCAUACCAAAUUGAGGAAGAUUUGGAAGGAGCACCCAAGAACAUGGUUCAAAGUUGUGGUGUUGGUUGCUCACUCUAUGAGUCUUGAGGUGGAUUUGUUUCUACAUCUCGAAUUGACAUCGACAAUAUGCUCAAUAUGCGAGUUAAAAAACUAAAAGUGUUCUAAAAAAAUAAUGAGAAUUUAAAAAAAAAAUUAUAAUAAAACAAACUCAACAAUUUAAUUAAAGAAAAAAAUUAUCUAUCACAUUUAAGAUUGAAUGAAAUGUUGUAGAAGCACUUGCUUGGAUUAGUUUAUGAUAGCAUUAAGGAUUGGAACUCUUAAAACAUUAUCAUACUCAUUUUUAUACUAAUACCGAUUUUGAUAAUUGGUAUAUCAAAACAUAUUGCAAUUUAGCAUGCUAAUAAGAAUUAUUUUAAAAAUAAAAAAUAAAAAAUGAAAAUAGUAAAAAGAGAUGUGAUUGAUAAAAUAAUUGUCUGAAAAUAAGUCGUUUUGAAUUUCUUAUUCCUAGUAAUGGAUUGAGGCAUUUUUCUUAAUUAAUUUAAGGAGUCUUUGAGAAAUGUUGAUAUUCUUUGUCCUUUUCCUCUCAUUUCAUGGGAUUGAAUUGUUGGUGUAGUGGCUCCUACUCAUCUCUCUAGUUGGUUGAGUCAAGGGAUUCAUAUCCAAGUCAAGAUUGAGUGAUUGUUGAGCUGCAUAAUUUAACUUGGGUCUCAAACUCAUUGUGGCUAUAGCCAAGAGGGAUACGACUUGAUCUAGUUGUGCCAAUGUCAACCAAUACUUUGAACCAUGCCUAGGGGGAGACCUAAAUAGGUAGAAAACGACUUACCUACACCACAUCUUAGCAACGAACCCAUUGUUAAGUGGAAUGAUAUCAAACUCUAAAGACACAUCCAACCAAAGAAGGGUCCAUCUUAGAUAAAUCAGUUGUUCUUAGGACACCUCAUAGAAGAGUAUAAGAUUAUCAACAAAGGGUAAAUGAGAGAUCUCCACACCCUCUCUCCCCCCAACUUCUUACCCAUGGUUCAAAGUAUCAGCCAAGAUUGGUUUGUCUUGACCAAGUUGUAUUCACCUUGACUAUAGUUGUGACAAGUCCAAGACAUGACUCGAUAUUGUGUAGUUCAACAAUUAGUCAUUUUUAACUCAGAUAUGAAUCAUUUGACUCGGGCAACUUGUGGAACAAUUCAAAGUUACCACACCACAAAUCAGAUUAGAUGAAAAUAAAAGGAAAAACAAAUAGAUAAUCUUUGUCUUCCCCUCAUCGAUCAUGAAGAAAUGCCUCAAUACAUAAGUAGAACAAUAAAUUCAAACUGAUAUUUUUUUUUUCAAAAUUGUUAUCAAUCAUAUUUCCUUUUAGUGUUUGCUUUUUAUAUUUUCAAUAUAUAAAAUUUUUUCAUUAUUUUCUUAAUUUUUAUUUUUUUUAGAUUUUUUAACUAGCAUAAUCUUCCAAUAACAAUCCAAGAUGUUGAGACCAAUCUGCCUUGGGACCUAUUGAGUUAGUAAUCGAUAUUGCAACUUUGGAUCAUGUUCCCACAACAAGAGAUUGUAUAACUAGGCUACAUUAAUAAUACAUUUUUCAUGUAAAUCAUUUUAUAUAUCACAUGUAAGUGUAUCUUAUGUACAUGAAUACAUUAUAAUUGAUCCAUACAGUCUGUGCACAUUUUAUUAUUUUAAAUAGUUUAUAGGAAAAAUCAAAUAUGAUUUCUUUUAACCAAUUGCUCUACUGUUGUUUAAAAAGGCAUUUUGAUGUGAAACUAAAAUAGUAGUAACUCCCUUUUAUUUUCUUUUACAUUAACUAUUAAAAAAAACCCUCUUCUGGUGGUGCUCAAAAUCUUAGGUUGCUUUCUAUCCUCUAUUUAAUCUUCUUCUUCAUUUUUUUUUUUAAUAAUUUAAAAAGAAUGACAAAGAGCUAAGGAAGAGAGAACAAUCCUGCAUUGGAACAUUUCACACAUGUUGACAGUCAAUGUGGAAAAUUGGAGUUCAAGCGUAACUAAAGUUGCAGCAGAUAUUGGGUGGUGGUAGUUGAAUGAAACUUGUGGUUUUCAAAUGGUUUGAAUAUUGAGCAAUGAUGAUGAACAGUGAAUUGAGGUGUUUGUAUCUUUUCUUCUUAGUUUUAUGUUUCUCUUUGCUUUUCCUAUGUUGGAGGUGUUAGCAGGGGUGGGGGAGGGGAUGACGAACUUGAAGUUAAAACUUUGAACAUAACAUGUGGACACAUAUAUUCCCAUGGUCCACAUAAGUAAAUACUUGUAUACAAUUCUUUUAUCUUUCUUUAUUGGUUUGGGUAUGUUAAUUGGAGAGUAGUUGAAGUUUUGAACUUCAGUAUGAUAUUAUUUAUUAGCAUACUAGUAGGUCCUUUGAAACUUAAAAUUAUGGUUAAAAGUUGAAAAAAAUUAUCUUGUAAAUCUUAUGAUGAAUCUAUGUAUUAAAAUGUCAAUUUGUUGAGUUGAUUUCUUCAACACUAGUUUUUAACAUUUUGAUGUGCAUGGCAUUGAUGAAUGCUAUAUUUGCGUGUUUUUCCGGUGAUAUAUCUGUCUUGAAAUUGGUUUUAACAUUUCCCUAUUAUUCAUUCUUGAAAAUAUGGGUUUCAUAUAUGAUAGAGAUUUUUGAUCUGUCUAUUUCCAAAAUGUGAAAAACUUCCAUUAAACGAUAUGAUAUGCAUGAUACAAAAAGGGGAAAAUGGUAUAUACAUAGAAAUGCCAGUGUGACAGACAAUGUAAGUACAGCGUCAAAAUUACUACAUUGGCAUGAUAUAUCUAAGGAAAUCAUAGUAAUUGUUCUCUCUCUAUUUGCCUUUGCCUUUUGGGUCCCUUUGUAUUCUUUCCGUGUGCUUUGGUGCUCUUUUUGGCUAAGUGCUGAUAAUAAAAUCUUGUUUUUGCUUUCCUAUCUGUACAUAUAUAAGCAAAUCAUAGAAAAUGGAAGAUUUAAAUAUUAGGUAACCCUUUUCUCUGUGAUACUUAAAAUCAGUUUGCUUUCUCAGUCAACUGAAAUGGCAAUAUCAACUAAUAUUACAUUAUUACUUAAAUGAUAUAUCAGUAAAAAUAAUGGGUAGAGUUGGUAUUUAUUUGUGAAAUUGCAAUCUGAAGCUAUUUGCACUCGAAGAGUGUGUAAUAUGUGUCUUUCCUCUUGUUAUUUUCUGGUUCUGUUUAGCGUAUGUGCUAAACUGAGAACAAUAUAUGCCAUCAUGAAUGGUUGGUCAGUGUCUUGUUAUAUUAAGUUCGAAAUUGCAAAAUUGCUGUUUGUUUUGUCUAAAAAUGCAAUCUUUGCAGUACCUGAGAAUUGCAGUUCUCUUCGUGUAGAUAGAGAGAUACUUAAUCUUGUGCUGUUGGAGUUAAAUUUUUUUUUUGGUUAUAAUAAUUUAUGGAUUGUUUGAUGGCCAUCAGUAUGAUUUGCAUUGAUCUAGCCUAACCAAAAAAAAAAAUUGAUUUGCAUUGAUCUAAUCGGUUCUUUUAUAACGAUGUUAACUCACUGACAACUUAAUCUCAGCAUGGUUGUUAAUUUUAAUAUUAUGGUUAUUUAUUAUUUUUUUCAUCACCUUUUCCACAAUAUGUUGGGGAGAAAGGAAUAGGAAUUCAGCAAUAUGGUCGCUACACAUCCCAAUUGACUGUUAUCUUGCUGGGCCAUUUUCUGGUGGAGUCACAACAGUCACUAUUUUCUUUGGCGUGUGUGCAUUGGGAUGCAAAUGGCAUCUUAGAUGGAUGCCAUUUGGUGGCCAUCAGAGAUGAAGUUGGUUGGAAAUUCUAUUUCCCUUUGUCUAGGUUUGUAUGUUACGCUUUUGCUACCAUUUUAAUGUGGUAGUUGCUCCUUCAGCCAGGGAGCCUGUGAAGUCUACCAUCUAGGUUUCUGAUAAAUCAGUUACUAAUUUGAUGAAUGAUAGCCUGGUGUAAUAAACCAAUUCCUGUUUUCAAACAGGCAAAACUGUUUCGAUCAAAGGAUUGUCCUUCACAAGUUUGCUUGAAAGCUCGUGAUGGUCUUCUAGCAAAGAAAUCAUGGAUAUUGCAUUCUGAUGGCCGGGACACCAAUGGCCUCCCUCAUGGAUUCAAAGACACUCGUGUGAACCAAUCGAAGAAGAAAGUUUCGCACAUCCCUAAGAUCAAAUGGAAAUGCCCACCCAAGGUAAGCUGAUGUUAGAUGUUAGACCUCAACUUGCAACCCCUUGUUGCAAAUUUUUCAUGCUUUUGGAGGGGGUAUCAUUACAAGUUUCUGCAUACAUCUGGCAUGGGCACUGAAUUUUGCUGAAUUGAAUUCUUAUAUUUUAACUGUUUUUUUUUCUUAACCAGUUUGUCUUGAGUUCCAAUUGGCUCGUUGCAUCUGGUGAAGAAAGCCAAGAGGCAGAGGCUCAAAAGCUGAGAGAAAAUCAUGUAGUUGAAGCAGUUUAUCCUCGCAUAUCUGCUAUACCUCUUAGGUAAAAUCUCCUAACCCCUGAAAAUCUGUAUAUUACUUCCUUUCUUCAUCCUUAAACUGAGGCUCAUGCAUCUUCCUAUAGCCCCUCUAUUUCAUUGGACAUAGAAGAAUGCCAUCAGGAUGAUUGUGACAUCCCUCUUGUCCCCAUCACAUCCAUGGAAGAUGAAGGAACAGUGGAUACAUUGUUUGAUUUGGCAGCACCAAUCAACUCUUCCAUGAUUUCAAAGCCACCAGCCUUGUCCCAAGAUUUAUUGGCAUCUGGAAACACCUCCCAGUGCAACAGGCCUGUUCUAGAGCCACCUGCCAUUGAAAAAACUGCACUUGGCUUGUCACCGGAUGUAGAAGCUGAUAUAAUUGCUGCAGCUACUGCUGCCAUUACCAUGGUCAUGAGAUGCAAGGAGCAGGGAAGCUUGAUUGACACAGAUUUGCUCAUUAAAAUCCUUACCAACCCAAAAAUGACUGAGAAAUUGAUUAAUGAUUGUCGAGAACCUGGAGGUACCAGUACUAUACCCUUUUCUGAGUCAAAACCGGUAACUCAGUUGGUUACCGUAUCCUGUUCAGAACCUGCUAUGGUAUUGGAGCCAAGGCCAGCCAAUGAAAAUAUGUGUUAUCAACCAAAGAGGGUGCGGCCUGCUCUAGAUUCAAGGUCUCCCCAAGAAGAUACUUUUCCAGUCUCUAGGUCAAAGCAAGUUGCUCAUCGAGUUCCCUUACCUCACACAAAUGGGAAUAUGUGUUCUCUACCAGGCGACAAGAGACCUGCUCUAAAUUCAAGCCCUCUCCAGCCAGAUAACUUUCCAAUCUCGUGUUCAAAGCCUGUCACCCUUCCAAAGCCAGAAAGUGGAAACAUUUAUCCUCUGCCCAAUGGGAUGCUACCAGACUCAAAUUCAAGGCUUUCCAUACCCAAUACUGUUACAGUUUCUUUGUCCCCAGCUCCCUUACCCAGCAAAGGACCUAAUAUGGUUUUGUUGUCUCAGCCAGCAAAAGUUAACUUAUGUUCCAUUCCAAAUGAUGUGCAACCUGCCAUAAAUUUGAGACCUCCCCAAGCAGAUGCUGUCCAAUUCUCUAGGUCAAAGCCAGCAAAUGGAAACAUGUAUUCUCUUGUAGAUGAGGUGCUAGCUGCUGCCUCAAAUUCCAGGCCUCCCCAGCUAGAUACUGUUCCCGUCUCUAGUUCAAAGCCUGUCAGUCUUUCGGUUCCCGUUUUACCCAGCAUAGAAGUUGAUAUGGUUGCCACACAGAAGGCAGCAAAUGAAAACUUCUACCCUUUAUGGAGUGGGUCGGGAUCUACUGUAAGCACAAGGUAUUCUCGAGAGCCUAUGGUUCCAUUAUCUGGGUUUAAUCCUGCACCUCUCUUGGUUCGCUCUUCUGUCCUAGAGCCUAGGGUUUUGUCACCAAGACCAACAAAUGGAAACUUGCACAACAUACUGAAAGGAGUACAACCAACUUUAAACACAACACCAACUUUACCAGACAUCUUGCCAACAUCCUCUUUCAAAGCUAUAAAAUCUCAUGUGAAGGACGUCAACUACUAUAAGAGCCUCGUUAAGCAACACGGAGGAGAAAAGCAAGGAACUCAGGAUCAAAUCAUCCCACAGUAUGCUAACCAUGAAAAUUACCUUCAAGGCAUGGAACUGAUACAGAACUUCAAACCAACAGAAUUGAAACCGAAGUCUCAGAAGUCUUGCAUCUUCUAUAACAGCCCAACAGGAUGUCGAAAUGGAACCAAUUGCCCUUACCAGCAUGACACGUUCUCUCAAUUGCGUUGUGGCAGCAUGCUGGAAGAUAAAAGGGCAAAGAGAAUGAAACUAGAUGGGAAAAUUACAGGCAGAAAAUAAUCGAGGCGGUAACUGGUGGUAUGGUUUUUCAACUUAUGUAGGUUCAUAUUUCCAUAAUCCCCCACAUAAAACUACACGGUUGCACUUCAUCAUAAUCACAAGUGCACCACCCACUCGUUACCUUAUCUUCCCAUUCAUAGUGCAUAGAACACCUCCUUGAGAGGUUAAAAUAAAAUGUCUAAGAGGAACUUUUACUGACAGUCUUACAUUUACUUUCUAAGACUUGAAAAUCCUAGUUUAGAAAUUUUCACACUUUUUUUAAUCAUAUGAUGCUGAUCAUUUCGUGUGCACGGACACUAUCGCUGCUGAUAUUUUUGCAUUUAUGAACCAUGGGGCCAUUGUUAAAGGGGGGAAUUUCAAUUAAAUAGCAUGCAUGACCAUAUAGCAGCAAUACCAGAUUAUAUGAGAACUGCUAAAACUUGGGAAAAUGAAAGAUGGAACCGAUUGGAGCAAAUAUGACAAAAUUGAUUGAUAUCCAAUACACCUGGUGAUUAAAUAAUCAUCAUAUGUUCAUGAUAAAAAAAAGUGAAGUUGAAUGUAGUAAUAGAAAAAUCAUGAUCAUUAUAGAUGUGAAAAACUACAGAAGGGGUUCCAGUGCAACAUAGAAGAACAAUAAUGCUCAUAUCUAUGCUGCAGCAUCCAAUCACUCUCAUAGUUUCUGCCACACCAUACAUGGAAUCCUGUAGGUGAAACAAAUUGAGAGAUGUAUAUCAAACCAUGCUUUUAUUCAGUUAAUACAAAUCUCAUCAAUCCACAACCUGGUAAAAAUUUUAGAUGUUCCCAAGGAAUGGGUCAAAACAGUUCAGAAUUGGGUAUUAUAAGUUCUAACACUCCACACACAUCAAUGGCCUCGUGCCCUGUAAUAAGAUGGUCAUAUUGUUGCCCAUAUUGGAAGAGCAACAACCAUAUUUCAGAAGACUCCUUGUUUCAGUCUAACCAAGAGCUUCUUCUGCGAUGAUCAACCAGUCCUCAUUAUGAUGUGAACCCCACUAUCAGUUUCCACGAUGUCGCUAAUCUCCCCAACUUUAAGAGCAUAUGUUGCUUCUUCAAAAGGCUUUUGCAUCUGACCCCGACCAAAUGGCCCUGUAACAACAUUUACAAAGUACUUUUGUUUAAGACCUGCAUUUAUCAGGAUAAGACCUGAGAUCAAUCAAAGCCAAAUGAAACAUAAUGCCAAAAUGGGGCACCGCUCACAUGUACAUCCCGUACUCUUUUUGUGCAAAAACAAAAAUAAUAUAUUGGAAAGACAUUUAUAUGCACAGGGGGUAGAAAUCUCAUUUACACGUGCAUCAUAAGGAAUCAAAGGGCUCAACAAGGUAACAAGUCCCAUAGUGAACACAAACUAAAAGAUCAUGUAUAAGGCCAGAUCUAAACAACCCACAAAUACUAGAAGGGAAGAAACAUUCAAAUUUUCUUGUUCAUAAUAGCUUCAAACUUCAUACCAAACUAAACUCUCUAAGGCAGGCCUGGAAAUGCAUGCAGACGCACACAAGUACAUAGCACAUUCAGUAGAGUGCACUGGCAUGAGCCUCAAACCGUCUACGCUUUAAAGGUGUUUCAGUAUGUAACCAGGGCCACUGUAAAGCUCUCAGAUGAUUUGCAGCAAAAAAACUGGGUCCAGAAGCUGUAGCAAAUGCAAAAGUACAAAUUUGGGCAUUUUCAAUAAAUUCUACAGGUUUAUUAAGCAUUAGUUUUGACUGAAGAAUGUCUUAGCAUGAAACAGACUCCUCUGGAUUAUCACUAAACCUAAAUUAUAAUAUUUAUGAUACUCAUCUGUACAGAUCCAGAGCCUGAACCUGUAUCAUGAAUAUUGGAAAAAGAGCAAAGACAACAAUUAUUAUUAUUUUUGGUGGUUUUAUUAAUAAAAACAGAAAUUCCCUUCAUUCAAAAUUAAGUGAUGGAUGGAAGGAUGAGAGCCAAAAACCUAUGUAUCAGUUCUACCAGGAAACCAAAACAAGAGACAGCAAGAUUACAUGAGAAUUUCUUGGAUGCUAGAGGGAGCUAUGGGACUAAACCAUAUAGAAAUAUUGAUUUACCAACGAUUUUCAUGCAAGAUGGUAUUCCAACACAUGGGACCCAAAAGUUACAAAAUAAGGAUGGUAAUCGUGCAUGCUCAGGAUGGGGCACCCUGUUCUGAUCCCAUCCUCAUGGACAAAACCCCUGCAAAACUUAUCCCAGUUCCAUUCCUUGUCCUGAUCCCACCUUGCAAGAUCAGUAAAGAAAACUUGUUUGGCUGAGUCAGGGGCACCACUGGACUUCAAAUAUAGCAUAUAAGCAUAUAGGGUUUGCAACAUUCUUUACUGAUAAAGAUCUGAUGAGAUCAACUGGUGGUACAAGUACCUACAGAAGAGGGAGCAGACCACAAAAAAUUUCUCCUAUAAAAUAUAAAAUGGAAUUAUUAAAAACAAUGUUGCUCGAGAUAGUGGAAAGUCUUGGAGCUGAGGUUUAGUCUUCGUGAGUAUGAGAAACAAUGUGCCACUUGAAAAACAAGUGACACACCAACUUUUUCACCAGGCAUAAGGAAUCUUAACUCCAAAACCGAACAUAUCCAAAUUGCUAGUUAACAUUGUAGCUAAUCAUUAUAAUCUCAUUGAGUCCACAGCAUAAGAAGAGCAUGAAUUUUGUUGUAAUCAUUGAGAAGCCUCUUUAUCUCCUAUAUCACUUAAGAUGAACAAGCUAUUAAAACCAAGCCAACAUGAACAAUGGAAAAGAACUUCAUCCUAACACACAAGAUGGCAAAACUUGAAAGUACUGAGAAUUCAGAUCUAUGAAAUCCACAAUUUUAGAUUGUCAUAACUAAGAGACAAGUUUUUUACUACUUUCUUUUAUCUGAAAACAAGAAUAAAUGUGAAAAAACAAAUCUCAACUGCGAAAAACCCUAAUUCACUCUGAGGAGACCAACUCAUCAGAGGCAGACUACAACACAUUGCAACCGCAGAGCAAUCUGAUAUUCUUUGAAUCCAAUUCAAUAACAAGAAAGUCAAUGAGGGGGAAAAGAAGAUAAGAAUAAGGAACCAGAUGCAACGAUUAUGGUGUUCAAAAUCACUGAAAAAGAGGCAGAAAAACUGGGGAAAACCUAAGAAAGGUAAGCACACAAGCUUCUGAAAUCAGAGUGUCAAAAGAUUUGGAGAUGUCUUGAGUUCAGCAACAGAAACCCUAAUCUCACUUUCGUAACACCUAACAGAUCAGAAAAACAUUCAUCACAAUCCAAAAUUAACAGUAAUAUCCCACGCUAACCGUCCUUCCCUUACUCAAACAAAAGACCACGGUUAUACACAGAAAGCAUUCAUCGGCUGAGGCCAUAGUUGAAGUAAUUUCCACAGUCGAGACGAAAGGAUUAAAAAUUUUGAACCUGAGAUUUCUCACUCUUCGAGACAAAAUAAAUAUUAUCACUCUACUUUUUGGCAGUUAGUGUAAUGUUUUUUAUUUUUGGAAAGCAACACAAAACAACACAAAGCACAAAGUUAGUUUUCCUGAGUUUUCUCAGCAUCCAAAGAGAAGGCAGGAGUGAAAACCCUAAUCCAAAAAAACCAAUCAAAACAGAAGAAGAUAAAGAGAGUAGAGCUAUAAAAACCGACCGAGAUCGCCGCCGCGCUUGGCAGAGCUGCAAUCGGAGAUUUGAGAAGCGACGUCGGAGAACUUAGAUUUGCCAGAAAUGAUGUCGUCGCGAAUGGCCUUAAUCUGAGUGACGGCACUUUCUUUGGUGGUGGCCUUUAUGACUCGACCUUCAGGAUCUCUCCAAGACGCCUUCCUUCUGGAAUCUUGGUGCUUGAUCAAGAUGUGCGAAGCCCUCACCUGAUUCGACGACAUUUUCCCCUUCUUUUUGUUGUGCUCCGCUCGAUCUGCAGAUGAGAUCGAAGUUUUCUUCCUCUUUCGAUCCGGCUCUAUCUUCGCUACUCUCUUUGUCUCCCUCUCUCUUCUCGAUCUCUCGAUCUAAAUGCGACCUGCGACUGGAAAACCUCCCUGUGAAUAUAAAGGCGUCCGGGGCUGUGAUGCUGUGACCCGCAAAACGACAGCGUUUAGCCUAUCCACUGUGGUAAUGAUGUGGCUUUCUCUGAUUGUAAGAUAGCCAGCCCACCCAUAUGAAUUAGUGUUGGUUUAAAUCCUAAUAAUUAAAAGAUAUACAUACAGUAAAUGAUGAUAGAUUAAAAGAGGUUACUGCUGCCUUUUUUAGAAAAUAAUAAUUAAAUUAUUUCUUCUUAUAAAAAUGACAUUUGCUGAUUAUUUAAUCCCUUUUUGCUUUCUUUUUUUGUUUUCAAAGAAAAUUAAAAUUUAUUUUAAAUUAUUUUCUGAUAUUUUAUUUUAUUUUUAAUCAAAAUUAAAGAUUCAAAAAACAUAUUUUUUAUCAAGAAAAAUUAAAAUUUUAUUGUGAAAACAAACCAAAGGAAAUUUUGCUUUAUAUUGGAAAAAAGGGCCUCAGAUGCCGGCCUAGUAGGAGCCCAUCGGCCCAAAACAUUGUUGGGUUGGAGAAGAAUGAGCUUAGGCUUUAAGCUAGCCCCAUCAUAUGUGUUACCCCAAUCUUCUACCGUUCAUGGCAUGGGUCAUGGGUUUUUUUGUCUCUGAAGGCGCAACACCAGAAAGUAAAAAGGAAGAACAGAAAUGGCAGGCAGUAUAUUUGGAUCAAUGGUAAUGCAAAACUGAAAAAGUACAAGUUUCUUUUACCCAUGAAGAUGCGUUCGAUUUUCAGAUAUGAGAAAAAGUUUUUAAUACUAUAUAUGUAUAAGUUCUUUAUCAUGAGAGUCUUUUGAACUCAUAUAAGAUGAAUAUAAAACAUAUUAUUGGAACUUAUCAAUCCCUAAUAAAAGAUUUUUGCAGUGUCGAUGACUAUUGUCAGUUAAUUAUACUUAGUUUGGUAAAGAGAAGUCUAGUUCAUACUUGUAUUUGGUGCAUGACCCUUGAAGAUUUGAGGCAAGUCUUUUGCUACUAGAGACCGAUCACCAUGAUUUGGUCCAAGUGUUGUUGGGUUGAGAAGCAAAUGGUGAAAGAAUUGAAGAUAAUUUUUUUUUUCUAUUCUAUCUUUUCUUUUCUUAAAUCCUAGGCCUACUUUCAUAAUUUUUCUCCAUUAGGACAUGAUUGGUGGGAGGGUGAGUCUACUAGGAACCCUAAAUUCCUUCUUUCCUAUACCUCAAAUCAUUAGGGUGCAUCAAAACUUAUUCUAAACUUCUUUAGGUCUAAGCACAACUAUUAACUUGGUUUCAAAAACCAAUAAAGAUACCGUAGAUCAAGAGAAAAUGUCAUACCUAUGAUUUAGAUGUUCUCGAAUUGAUUCUUGUCAGUAUAGAAAGCUCCAAAGCGGCAACAAAUCUCGUAGACGUCAUGAUCUUCUACCUGAUGACUCCUCCUUGAGUUUAAAUACUAAGAUAGUAGAGAACUUAGACUAGAGGCUAGGGUUUUCUCUCUGGAUUGCACAAAGAGAAUGACAAAAGUUUGAAUUAGAAAUCUUAACUCCUAGGGGAGGUAUUUCUAUGCUUCCUACCAGGCUUAAGUGAUUUGAGACCACCAUGAACUUAGGUCACUUAAUUUAAUAGAAAAAUGUUGUUAAUUUAUUAAUUAACUAUAUAGGGCUUCAAUUAAUCAAUCAGACCAAUCCGAAGAUACCUCUUGCUUACUUUUAUGCGAUCUUGUAUAAUUACCAAAAUGUACUUAUGCACAUAAGUGAACUAAAAACUCAUCCAACGCUCAUAAAUCGUGCGAUCAAGAAAUAUGAACUUGAAUUAGGACCAGUAGGACCCAUAUGACAGUACUGACUCCCUUAAAAUCCGAUUUUGAAGUUGAUACAACAUUCCACUACAGAGAGCCAAUUGUAUUAUAUAAUAACAAGACAUCAAGUGCUCAAAUCCGUAACCUACUAUCCGUUGUAUUUAGUCUCCCAAUGAAUUGAUGUUCAUAAUCUAACAAGGUGAAAGUUAUCAACUUUUCAAAACUACCUCUACAAUCAUUAAGUUAUAAAUCUUUUUAUUAUGUGAUCAAAUGACAUACUCUAAUAUAAAUAACAUAUGUCAAAUUCCACCAAAUGAAUUAUUAUAGGCUCACAUAUUUCAUGAUCACAUAUCCCCAGGAUCACCCAAGAGGAUAUAUUGUCUCAAAGUCCAUGAGAUAUCAUGGUGUCUCUAUUAAGAAUAUUUGUUACUACCGGUUUUCAUCAACAAUGACUCAAUCAUUUGGGAAUAUAUAAUUAGUUUACGAUAUCAUUCAUAGGUCAAAGUCACUGCUAAUUUUUGCACAAGUUUAAUAUUCUCUCAAGGUUGAGAGACAAUAUAGUAUAACAACUUAGUCAAGUUAUGCCUAUUUAAUAGUCUUUUAUCACGACUCAUUGUGUGUCUUGUUAAAUGUGUAACCAUACACACUAAUACACUCACUAUAGGAACCUCAUCCUAAUGGCCAACACCAACCAUCCUUCCAAUUACUGAGUGGUUCACUAUAGUUUCAAAUAGAUUGCCUAAGUCUAUGAAUUGAUUACUAACAAAUCAUCUACUUGCAAGGACCCAUGAUUUGAAUUUUUCGUGGAAUUUCUAAUGUACCGAGGUCAUAUACAAUGCAAUAAUUGCUAGGUCAAAAUGCUCAUAGAGAAUAAUGCAUGGAAUAAGGAUAGAUAAAAGUGAACCUAGAAUAUCAUUGAAUGAAUAACGAAUUCCAUGUCUAUUACCUCAUGUCAUGCUUUUAAAAGCUUUUAUCCUAAUAGAGUCAACUUUUCUUACAGGGAUUGGCGAGUCAGGAAUUCAAAACUUGGGACCUUCACCAAACUUGUCAAUGGUCGUCUUGACUCAUGUUAGGCUAUACAUGUUAAGUUUAGAGACAGGUACUGCCUUGAGAUUUAUUCCUUGUAUGCAUUCACAAAUCAUUCUUGAUUUAUGUGCUUUUCUGGGAGCAAUGAGAGUUCAGGAGAUUGGUGUUUACCUUCCUAAACCUCUCACGAGCAAGUCUCUUUGAUUAAGAGCUUUGGAGUCAGGUGCUUUUAAAGCAUCCAUUGAAGCACUACUCUACCUUAUUGCCCUUUGUUCAAGGAACAUGAAUGUAGUUGUUAACUUGAACAACAUGGGUCACUGGCUUUUGAUGGGUUUGAGUGCAAUGAGGCAAAAAACACCUUGUUUAUAAAAAUUAUUCAUGUUGGGGACAAGUUGACAUCUUAGUACAAUUGGUACCCGAUAUGCUUUGGGUUGGUACCUUGGUACACCCGGUACCCAGUACCCGAUACAUGAUACCUCUCAUUUGGGAAAAAGCAUGGCCAAGUUGUUAUAUAAGAGCGCUUAAAUCAUGUUUGUCUACAAAUGGAUAAAGGACAUUAUAUGGCUCUAUUUCCCAUCAUCAUCUUUUCUUUCUAAUUAACUCAAACCAUGCUACUAUCAUCUUAAAAUUAAAUCAAAAGCAUAUGAUUGAAGGAAAUUUUUUAGUUUUGAUGCAAUGUGGCUAAAAAAUUAACAAUUUUAAGGAUAUGGUCUUAAACCUUGAAAAUGUCAUUAUAAUGGAUCCUUUGGCUACUAAUAUUUGAAAAAUAAUAAUUGAUAAUGUCAAGUUUAUAGCUAUAAAUUGGAAUAGAGUUGUCUUUAGUAAUAUUUUUAAGAAUAUUUAAAAUUUCUAUUAAGAGCUAAAUUUGCUGCAAGAUUUUACAGUUAGUCAUAAGAAUGAUAGUAGGGUAAUUCAACUAAACAUUGAGGAUGUUUAAAAAUAAAAAAUAAAAAUCCAAUAGGGUGAUGGAAAUACCAAAUUCUUCCUACUCUCAUAUCCAUCAUAUUUGCGGCAAAACCCUUUUUUAUUUUAUUUUUUUUGUGGAUUCAACAAGAGAUUGAGAUCAAGUUUGAUGUGGAUUCCAAGUACGCUCUCAAAGAAGAAAGUGUGUAGCCGGAGUUUGAAGGUUUUAGGCAAAUGGUUCAAGUGGGGAUUAAAGGAUUGGGUUAGGUAAAUCCUUAUAUUCAAUUAAUUUUCUUCAUAAUGGAUGUUUUGAUCUCUUAAAGCCCAUGGUUUUUUUAAUUUUUUUUUUUUAUCUCUUUGAAGGUUUUCCACAUUAAAAUAUUGGUGUUAUUGUCUCUUUAUUCUAUCUUAUCUUUUGAUUGGAUUUUUUCAUUAGCUUAUAAUAUUUCCAUUGCGUUAAUUGAUAUAUAAGUUGAAAUUAGAUUAUUGAAACUUUAAAAGAAUAAGGUAUAUGUCAAUUUUGAUGUGGAUGUCAAAACACAUGUGAAUACGUGAUUUUGAGUUGAUUCAAUGUCUUAUAUAUCAUGGUUGGAGAGUGUUGAUAUAUAUGCAUAUGAUUUGCUCGACUAACUUAGAGUGUUGAUGCAUCCAUUAUUACUUGUGAUUUGUUUACUUGUUAGUAAGAUUGAAAAAGAAAAUCAAAACAAUUGAAAAAUCAAGGGACUUUAGCAUUCAUGAGAUAUCAUCUCAAAGUAUUUUAAUAACGACUAUUCAUCUCCCACUCUAGGUGUUAUCCGUAGAUGAAAUUCAUCUUCAUAUUCAUCAAUUAUUAAUGAGAAUGCAAUAUUAUAUUUUCUCAAUCUUCUUUUCUCUCUAUUCUAAUUUCCACUCCUUUCAUAUUCUAUUAUUGAAAAGGCAACUUUUAUGUUUAAAUAUUACAUUUAUAAAGAUGACAUGAAAAAAUAGGUUAUUUGUACAAUAAUAAAGUUAAAAAGAAAAAUUGCAAUAUUAUUUGAUGAAUUCCUUAAAAUUAAAUUUUGAUACAUUUAAAAAUUACAAUAUUAUUAUAUGAAUUCCUUCUAAUAAAAACAGGAUAAAAUUAACUUUUCAUACAUUUAAAAGAAAUACAAGAAAAUGUUCUAUCAAGGGAAUUAUUAAGGAUAAAAUAUGAAGACUAAUAGUGGCUAUUCUAGGCAAAUUUGUGAGAAUUAUCUUAUCAUAUUUUUUAAAGUUGUAUUACAUAAAGAAAGUUUGAUGUUAACUAAAAAUGAUCAAGAGUUUAUCAUGUAACAAUAUUGUUACAAAGAAUAUUAUAAAUAAUUGUAAAAAAGAAAAUGUUUAGAAAUGUGGUUUGAGAAUUACAAUUUGUCAUUACAAAUUAUUUGACCAAAAUGAGGAAUUUAUUAAACAAAAUUAUUAGUUCAAGGGUUUCCCUAGUUACAUUUUGACGAUUACAAAAUAAGACUAAGUAUACUAACAUGUUUUUCAAGUGAAUUUUUUAGGUUUUAUUAAUAAAUUCAAAAGAAAACUCAAAUAUUCUUAUAAGAUAUUCAAAAGUCAUGAAGAAACACAUCCUUGAAGACUCAAGUUGUCUAGGAACCUCUAUAAGAUGAAUCUCAUCAGUUCACUUAGGAUAAAAUAUGUUUAUACACUUCUAAAUGUUGUUUCAUUCAUCCUCACCUAAGCUUAAAAGUAACCUUGUGUCUUCAAAGUGAAUGAAUGUGUUUUACUUCAAAAACUUGGGUUUAAUUCUUUUAAAAAUAUCUUAAAGGUUUUUAAAUGAAAUGCUCGAGUUACUAAAAGAUUAAAACUUAAAAGGAAAGUAUUUUUGUCUAUUUUCUAUGCAACCAAUUAAGGAUGCCUUGAACUGGUCAAAUUGACUAGGACAUCAAUUCAACUGAUUAGGCUUUCUUGGUUGAGAAUCGAUUAAGCUUGUACAAAAUUCUCUCUUUUAAUAGUUGGUAUCUAACCAAUUGAGGUUCACUCAAGCAUUAAAAACACCAAAUGUCACUUGAAGACUAUAUGGCUAAGUCAAUAUGUUGAAUUAGAGCUCAAUUGAUUGAUGCCUUUUUUGUAUUGUUUUGGGGUCUUGAGUUGUUUUCUUAUAAAUUGGAAAACUCUCUUUUAUUUAUUGACAAGAUAACACUAAUAUUGAAUAUUUUUUCACCUACUUUCUCUAUUUCAACACUCUUCAUUUAAGUGCAUUAAAUCCUUCACUUGUAAAUUUUUACGUGCACCGUUGAAAUCCAUCCUAGCCUUUCCUUUGUAUUAAGCUCUACAAUUAUACUAGGAUUCUUCAUUUUCCUAUUCUUGUUUUAAGUAAUAGAAACUUUAAGUUGGUUGAGAACUUAAAGGAUUGUAGUGCCCAUUGGAGUUCAUAAAUUCAAGUAUAAAAGAUUGAAGAUUUGGGUUAAAACCUUGGAUAGUGGAACCUUCACUCGAUUAGAAGGUUGAAGAGAGUAGACAUAGAUUCCCUUACUCUUUAAUUUAUUGCAUUUGUAAUUAAAUAUUUUGUUGUUUUAAUUUAACUAUUUUGUGAAAAGUUUUUAACUACUCAAUUCACCUCUCUUUUGGGUGUUUUUGUUGUCUCAUAAAAAUAAUUAUUUGUUUUAGAUUUUCUUAAUGAUUUCGUGAGAAUAGAGCAUACAUGUGGUGCUAUGCUUGAGGAAUUUUUUUUUGCUAGGCAAGUUAUUUAAGAUUUAGUUUUUUUCAUUAAUACAAGACUGUCCUAAAAAUAGAAAAUUAAAAAAUAAAUAAUUUUAAGAAUAACUUAAUUUUUAAAACAACAUUUUAAAAUCUACGUAAAAAAGAAAAUUUUAGGAAAGUAUUUUUUUUUAUUAAGAUAAAAUUAUCUUAAAAAAUAAAAAAUUUAAAAUAAUUUAAAUUAAAAAAACAAGUUAAUACUUCAACACUAUUAAGUACUAUUUACAUUUAAGACCAUAGAAAAAAACACCAGAAUCUUUUUUAUCAAAGAAAGAAAGCUGACUGGUUCUAACCGUUCAUAAGUAUAACUGCUUUAUAAAAAAUUUCACUCUGAAUCAAAUGAUGAAGGGCUGGUUGGAGAGGGUUCAAGGAAGACAAAAAAAGGAAAAAAAGUCACGCCUGUAUUAAGGCAUCGAGCCUAGCUGUUUGGUCAAACAUCUACACGUGUUUUGACUUCAAAGUUAUCAAGCUUAGAAUUGCGUUUCUUUAAAAAACCAAAAUUUCUUACACUUGGUAAAAUCUCAACACAAACCCAGAUGACAAUCAUCUGCAGUUCCAAGGAUAAAAUUGGUAUCUGAGUCCGUUAAAAUUCAAUUUCAACUGCAUCCAAAUGUUAAAAGGAAAAUGAGAUAAUAACGUUGUAUGGAGUUCACAAGAGCAGGGAUUUCUUACAAAUAAAUAUGCAAAAGAUUUGGGGUCAGCACACUAAUACAAGCUACAGAGGGGCCAAAGAACCACUACCUACAGCAGGGGCUGGCAUACAACAAUGGUGGAUUGAAUCAAUGGAUUUCCAUUCACUUGCGCCUCUUGCACAGCUUUCAGUUCAUGGUGACUCGUAUUGGUGAUAGGCUACUGCAAGUGCAGUCUGCUGUGCCCUGUUUAUCUGAAUUUAUGUCCUCGUGUCAACUACACUUCUCUCAAAAUGGGCCAACCUUUUCUAAUGAUCUCCUCAAUCCUUGCAUUAAUUUGCUGCUGAACCUUCGGUGGGCAAAGCUCUGCUGCAAAACCGUUCAGUUUUGCUGCCAGAGUUGAUUUCUCUAGCUCUUCUUCAGGCAAGUUCCCCAUCAGCUGAAUGAGGAAAGGAUUUCUUUUGAGCUCAAAUUUCUGCAGAUUUUGAAACACGAAAAGUUUGUCAGUGAUGCAAUAAGGUUAGAAACAAAUCUUUUGCCUUGGAAAGGAAUUUUCCUAAAUUGGCAGUAUACUGGAAUGUGUUUUCCAUUUCUUAAAAUAUGAAAGUAGGAAUCAUCAGCUUAAGUGUUUGGCAGUGUGGAAUAUUGAAGAAUUACUGUGGAGGUUCUACACUACACUGCUUCUUGGAAAAAGAAUAGGGAUGCAUUUGGAAAGUAUAAAAAUAAAAUAAAAUAUUUUAUAUAUACAUAUAUGCUUUUCUGAUUCACUGUUCCAGAAACAGAAAGAGCAAAUGAAAGUAUUAGUUCAAAAAAUAGGAUUUCAUGGUAUGUUGUCUGCUCUGUUUAAACAUCUGAGGAAGUCAUUUCUUUUCAGUUUCUGUUUUUAGUUUUUGUUUUUGUUGUUUUUUUUUAAAAAUGUUUUAGUUGUCAACAAACAAGACAGUUCCAGAACCUCAGUUGUGAUUAUCCAACUUAAAAGCUUGCUUUUUAACAGCCCAACCCUAAUACAACAUAGGAUACAAGCUUUAAAUCAAUAUGAAUUUUGCUUUCAAAUCUGACUUCUAAGACAAACUCGCAAAGAAUUGAGUUAUACAUAAACUAUAAGCUCUACAUCAAUAGUAGUUUUUUUUUAAAUCAAGUUGAAGAAUAGAAGAGUUCCACAGUAACAAAAUCAACUACAAGCGCAUAAAGAAAACUGUGAUCAAGCUACCAAACCUGAUGUUCAGGCUCUGCUGGGCAAAAUUUUCCAAGUUGUUGAAUUUGAGUAGUCACAAUACUGCUCUUUGACACAGUUUGUUCUCUUUCUUUGCUGACAGCAGCCAGUCUCAACUCUUCAGUCCCAUUAGUAAAGAUAAUAGACCUAUAGACAUAGAUCGGUUCAUUGGGUAAGUAUGACUUUUAAAAUGAACUAGAAGAUGUUGCUCCAGGUCAUGAGAGUUACCUAUAUUGGUUACCCACAUCAGGGCCUUGCCCAAAUACCUGCCUAGAAUCAUGACUAGACCAGAAAACCUCUAAAAGUUGCCUGAAAGUAAUCAGCCUGGGAUUGUAUUCAAUCUACAUAACAUUCAGAAAUUCACAUUAAACAAGUUCCCAUAAAAUUGACAAGGCAGAAAUGACAGAAACAGAUCUUUCUGGAUAUAAGGAACAGAAAGAAGUUCUAUGAAAACAAAAAGAAGAGAAAAUCCUUAUUUUUGAGCCAGAGUAAAACACAAUCCAUCUUCUACUUCCAGGCCCUAAUAUAUAAAACUGGCUAUGGAUAAUCAAAUACCUGUUGCCUUAUAGCUAAGAGUUCAAACAAUUAUAUCAGCAAGGUUUAAGGUCAUCAGGAUCAGAAAAAGGCUGGCAUUGAUUAGGAGGUAUUUCAGAUUAGUGGCAGUGAAAUGCUUAAGUGAAUUAGAGGGUAAUUCAGAUCACCCUGUACAGUGAGCCUCACAAGCAAUUGGCCUAGUAUCAUACAAUAAAGAACUUACAAUUUAUUCUUCAGUAGCGCAAGACAAAAUGUUUAAUUCAUUAGAUAAAAUGAAUUUCUCGAACAAAGCAUAGUCACAAGCAGAAAAAAUUUGCGUGCCAAGUCCAUAAAAAUCUAAUUACAAUUUAUUCUUCUGCAGAGCGAGAAAAUGUUUCAUUCAUUAGCGAAAAUUUGAAAUGGCUAAGGCAAAAUAGAGAAUUGAAGGAAACACACAAUGGUUCAUCCCUGCAUCAUUUAUCCUUCCAAAACUUCAGCCUCCAUGAUAGAUUUUCAUAGCCCAACCCCAUACCCAUCUAUCCCCACACCAUUUAUCCUUCCAAAACUUCAGCCUCCUUGAUAGAUUUUCAUAGCCCAACCCCAUACCCAUCUAUCCCCGCACCAUUUAUCCUUCCAAAACUUCAGCCUCCUUGCUUCACUCAACCAUCAUCCUCCUCUUCCUCCCCAUAUUUUCUACUAAUGACCUAAUUCCAAAACGGUCCUCUUCCAAUUGCAUACCAUCAUUCCAUUUGCACAAAAACACCUUAUUCGACAAAGAAAGACGUCUAAUGCUCAUCAUCCCACCCCCCACCCCCCUUAGUCUUCUCCAUGCACAUUGUCAGCCAUUUCACAAAAUGCAUCUUUUUCUUCAACACCCCACCUCAGAAAUCCCAAUAAUUUUUCUCCAACCUCAAUCUGACUUCCCUUGGAAUUGAACAAAGACAAAAGGAAUAUGUGAAGGCUAGAUAGAGUGCUCUUGAUCAAUUUAAGCCUCUACCCUUUUAGAGAUAUACUGUCUUUUUCUUAUUGAUAGUCUUUUACGAAACCUCUCUUCCACCUCAUCCCAAACCAUCAUUGAUCUAAAAGGAGAACCCAAAGGAAGACCCAAGUAAGUAAAUGGAAGCUUGCCUUCUUUGCAUCCUAACUCCAAGACCAACUCCUCAGCAUGUUCCACCCAACCAAUAGGAACUAGCUCACUCUCAUCCAAGUUAAUUUUCAACUCCAAUAAAGCUUCAACCACAUGAGCCACCAACUUAAAUGGACUACUUGAUCUUGGGAAGCCUCAUGAAAAACAAGAGUGUCAUGUGCAAACAAGUGAGACACCUCCCCUUCACUGCCUCUCCCCCUCACCCUAACUCAUGUAUGGCAUCCAACCUCACUAGCUCUCUUGAGAAGAUAGCUAAGGGUCUUCAUUGCAACAACAAAUAAAUAGGGAGACAUAGGGUCCCCUUGCUUCAAGCCCCUGUACCUUUCAAAGAAACUAGAAGGUUAUCAUUAACAAUCACUGAAAACCUUGCAGAAGAUAUGUACCAUUUAAUCCAUUGAACCCAUUUUCUGCCAAAACUCAUCUUUUUAAGAACUAAGAUCAAGAAAUUCGAAUUGACAUGGUCAUACAACUUUUCAACAUUUAACUUACACAAGAAUCCACAAGCAUUGCUCUUCAACAUAAGAGUCUAUGGCCUCAUUUUCCUUUAGCACAACAUCAAGAAUUUGUCUACCCUUUACUUCUAUGAUCAAAACAACUCAAAUUGUUAUCAAUACAGAGCAUUUUGCUCACUAAAAUUACAAUCCCAGGAGUCCCUGAGAAUCAUAUUCUGUUGCUAAGCAAAUGGAUUUCCAUUUCAAUCUUUGUGCAAAACCCUUUCCAACUUUGAGCCGUGCAAGUUUAAAUGUAUAAGUAACAGGCAAAUAGGCAUGCUCUUGUUCAUUAAGCAAAAGGAUUUCCAUCUCAAUUUUGGUGCACAAUCAUUCUCACCUUUAACCCAUGCAAGUUCAAAAAUAAAAGUAAUCAGCUCCAUAGAUUUUCCAAAUAAUCGAAGGAACAAAUAAUCCAUAAGCCAGUAUAUUGCUAUACAUAACUAACUCAAUUCUGUUCCAAAAUGUUUCUACACAGCCAUGUCCAAUAAUACUGCAAUGCUGAAAAUAAACAUCAGAAUUCAGUAAUUCCCCCAAUUAGCCUGAAAAUAAUUAUCAUAAUCCAGGGAUUGUCCCAGUAAGCCACACAAGUGAUGUUCUAAGAUUUAAUUCUUUCCUUAGACCUAACAAUAAGCACCAAGGAUUAAAAUAUCAGAAAUUGCAGAAAUAUUGGUGGUUGGAUUUUAUAAAAAUAUUGGAUGGAAAUUCAAACAAAAAAUAUUCAUGGGAUGGAAAUUAAUCAAAAUUCAUAAAAAUAUUUUUUUAAAAAAAUCCAAGAUAUGAUAAAAACAAGCAAUGAUACACAUAUUAAAGUCGCUUUAUUGAAAAAAUUAUAUAUAUAUAUAUAUGCAGCCGAGUUGGUUAGGGUUCGACUAGGAAGUAUGGUCCCAAUAAAUGGCACAUGGUCUUGGGUUCGAAUCCUAUUAUUGAUGAUACCUUGAAUUUACCUGGCACAGGUUGUUGCGGGAUGGUCAGCACCCCGAGGUUUGAUUCCCCAUGGAGAGUCUUAAGGGCUUGGCCAUAGAAGGUUCCUUGGUUAUAAAAUAUAUAUAUAUAUAUAUUUGAUAAUAAUGUACAAAACUUGAAAAUGCAUUUAAUGCUAAAUGAUGACCUAUCUAGUUUGGAUAUAUUUAAGGAUAUAAAAGAAAUGCUUUUUUUUUUUUUAUAAGUAAAAAAAGUAUUGUAUUACGAAGAGACGCUAAAAUAGCGACUCAAGAUGUAAAAAAACAGAAAGGGAAACACUCACCUCCUAACAUGUGAAAAGAAAUGAUGAUAUAUAUAUAUAUAUAUAUAUAUAGAGAGAGAGAGAGAGAGAGAAUAAAAAUCUCAUUUUCUUAAGAAGAUUAUCAUAAUGGUUUUAUAUUUUUAAUAAUCAGUUAAAUCAGAUUCAAAACAAGUUGCACUAAGGGCAAUAACCAUGGUUUCGCAUGCUGGAGAGCCUGGGUUCAAACCCAGGUGGCCCCUUUCCUUUUUAAAACCAAAAAAAAAGGGACCCCUUUCUCUGUGCUGACAUGGGGGAGAUUUUAUAGAGAAAAUUGUCGAAAAAUCAGAAAUUUAUCAGAAAAAUCACCAAAACUCAGUUCGACUUAAUAUCUCUCCCUAUUUUCAACUGAAAUUUCACCAAAAUUCCCAAUAUUUUAAUCCAUGAUAAGCACUUGGAGCUGGCAACAGGUAGCAUAGGGAAUCUUCUAGAAGUGACAAGUGAAAUUUGCUAUAAGAAUGAUGAUCAGUGGCAAAUUAGUGAAAUAUUCUUCCUAGGGUUAUGAUGAUAACCAAUGACAACUAGAACCAGCAAGGGAUAUGGCAUAGCCUGAACAUGAUGUGUUGCAAUCACAACCAAUGAGAAUAAAAUCCUUAAAACACACACACACACAUCCCAUAAUCAUCAAGACUAAGGCUUCACCAUUUCAUCACACUGAAUAUAAAUAAAACAUAAAAAAAUAAAAAAUAAAAGAAACUACACACCAGACAAUUGUUGAGCCACAAGCACAUUAGCCUCUGGAAAUCCUCAUGUAAUUUGCACCAAACAGAUGGUCCCUAGUGCAUUACAAUUCUGGGCCAAGUAUAUAGCCAAACAGGACAAACAACUUAAGGCUCCCCAGAAAUUGGCCAUGAGAAAGAACCACACUUGGGUAGAAUAAUGAUAGCACUAAGCCCAACCACUCUUCAUUGAUGAAUUAGUUGUUUAAAAAAAAUUGUCACUAAAGAACUAGAAAUACUGCAGCAUUUUGGCAAUCCAUAUUUAUGCAUGUAAAAGAACACUAGACCUUAAGGGGGCCAUUGAUGAUGCAACUAGCUAGCUAGUUGAUUAUCUAUUUCUUGUACCACCAACUCUACAUCUCAAAACAUAGUUAAUCAACCGGGUGACUAUCUCUUUGUUGAGCAAUCAAUGCCACAUUUCAAAACACUGUUAAUCAAGCUACAAUGGAUGAAUCAAAUCACUUAGACCGCACUACCUUUGUACAUAUAAAAGUAAUGGAGCCAAGGUGUUCUUCCAUUCCUUUGCAUUUGACCCACUUGGAAAGAGGAAAAUAAAUAUAGGGCAUAUUACAUUGAACCUAAACAAUGAUAAAGUCCCAGCUGAAAUUACUUGUUCUUCCAUUCCUUGUUAUGUUAUUGCCAUAAAAGCCAUGAUAAUAAUGCAAAAAAAGCAAGAAAAAGGAAGCCAAAAGGAUGAGAAAUGUGAAGAUUAUAUCAGCAAAUGACAGGGGAAAAGGGAAGGCCUGCUCUUUCUAUUAGGGCCAAUUAUUUGACACACAUUACCCAUAUAUUUUAGUCCCACUGGAAAAAAACAAAGAGAAGAAGAUCAGGGUGAAAAGAUUAUUGAAAUGGGGUUUAUUGUCAUUCCUACUCUUUCCAUAUAUUUGCUUACUAAGGCAUAAAUAUGGUAUGAGAAGAAUUCAAAUACAACACCAAAAUCUCAUGUACUGCUCAAAAUUUGCACAUUUCUCUCUUUUGGUAAAAAGCACUAACUGAAUCAUAUCAGAUUUUGGAAUGAGCUUAUGCAAAUUGCUUCCCUGACCCAGGUACAUAUGGUAGUAAUCAAACUUUGACAGCAUUCUCCCCAUCAUGGAAAAAGAAAGGAAGCUCUCAAAGAUCCAGUAAAAUGGAAAAUUUCUAUAAAAAGAUCAUCCUCUUGGACCUUUGACAUAUAAUCCUUUCGCCAGAACUAACAAUUUUUAUGGGCAAGCAACUUCUUUUGAAGGUUCAGAUAGGACACUGGCUAAACUAGAGUGAAACUACAUCUAUCCUGAAACCAGAUUUAUUCACCUUCCAAUUACUGAACCUUAUAAAAGAAUGGCUUUGGCAACCUCCUGGUUCAAAUAACAAGAACUGUUACACCAUAAAAUGAACCCAAAUAAUUAGAGACUCGAAGACAAAGGCUUUCUUUUGCUAAACCAAAUUGAAAAGGAAAAACUCUACAUCUCUUCACUUAUUUAAAAGAAAAAAAAUAUGAAAAACUUCCAUGGCUGAGGAUUUAGAUUCUUCAAUGGGUAUGCACAUAUCGGGAAAGAAAUUGCAAACUUCAAUAGUCUAUCAGCAAGCAAGAUUCAAUUAGAAUAACAAUAGAAAUGUAAACAAUCAGCUCAUGGAAGGUUGCAAGCAGAUGAUUAACAAGGAAUAUAACAACACUACGGCCUACCAACGGAAUUCGUAAAUUUCUGGACAAUGUAUCAAGCGACCUAACAAGGAAUUGGCAAAUUUCUGGAUAAUGCAUCACCACUAUGGCCUAGUUAUGACUCAUGAACCCGCUGAUCCGGCUCAAUGUUAGGUUUUCUUUUAGGAGAUCCUAUGAAGCAUUUGUGAUGGAAUAUUUCCAUCUUGUUCGAAAAAUUUAUCUGCUUUUCCGAUCAGUUGCUGAGAUUCCCGGAGCCUCAAACAACUCUUUUCACUUAAAAGAGGUCAAUUUUUUUUCACAAUUUUGGAAAUCCAAAAUAAGACAACAUUUUCUUUCUUCACCUUGUCUUUUUCCUACAUUUUCGCAGCAACAAAACCGGGUUCCAGAUUAAGAGAAAGACAAACUCAAAAUAAUGAACCAGAGAAUAAAAGGAGGAGAACUGAACCUGAACUGACUCGGCAUGAUCGCCCCAGCUUCUGUACUCGGGGUUGGCCUUGGAUCCACCGGCGUAACCCGCGGUGGUCCGUACAACUCCAUCCAAGCAUCCAAACACGGCCUCGGAUCUCCAAAAGCUUCCGAGAGCGAAAACCGCCGUUUUCAGAGGCUGAUUGGACGAAGCCUUCACGCUUUCCGAGAUCCGAUCGGGAAAUCUUAUACUCACAGCUCUCUCGGCCGUUAAAAUGAUUAAAACAACAGAGCAUAUGAUUCUCGAGUAAGGAAGAGACACAUGCCUCCCCGAAAACGUCAUUUCAUUUGCCUUGCCCCCAAAGGCCAAAGCUGCCGAGGAAGAGUUUUUAUUUAUUCCCCUUUCUUUUUCAAAAUUUCCCGAGAAUUUUCAGCAGCAGUGUCCACUGCCCAAUUUUCGAUUGUUCGGAGCCAGGCUGUGAGCCAGGCCCAUUUAAAUUUAUCGAAGUUAUGGCCAAUGGGCCCAAGGCCUGAAUCCGCAGCUUACAAACAGAGGUUGGACAAGUCUGUAAUUUACCUUAUUAUUUUAAAAUUUCAAAAACAAAUAUUAAGAAAAAAUUUAAUUACUAUUAAAAAUUUUAAAUUAUGUAUAUCUAAUUUUUACAUUUAAUUUAAGAGAAUCGAUUUCAUCUAAGAAUCUUACAUGUAGUAGUUAUCUUUUGAAAGACUCGAACCACCUUAAAAAAUUAAUUUUAUAUGUGAAUAAAUAUUUUUAAUUAAAUCUUUAGAAAUUGUUAAAAUAAAUUUUGGCUUUUAAUGACAGUGAAUUGAAAUCGUGAUGCCAAGAAGUGAAGUGAUCUCAUCCUUCCUCUUAUUUUAGGUUCUUUUUAAUUUUUUUACCUUUGCCUCGAAUUCUUAAGAGGGUGUUCAAAUCACCCUUUGGCACAACUGAGCUAUCAAAAAUGCCCUCUCUUAACAUGAAGGAUGGCAUCCGACGAGGAAGAUCUCACAGGCGACAGGCCCCAAGGAUUUACCUGGCUCCAUUUAGGGCUGUGUCGGACCUUGACCAGAGAUUAGCCAUCGACAAGUUCAUCUCAACAUGAUGAGGUCCAAAUGCUCCAGGGUCCAAAUUGAGUUUGAAUUAUAACAGGAAUGAACAAUUCAAAAUCCAUUUAUAAUAUUUUUUGUAAUAUAUUUAUAUAAAAAAUUAAAUAAUAAA
This 63913-nucleotide long non-coding RNA is filed under the name Vitis vinifera (wine grape). RNAcentral describes it as "long non-coding RNA (VVIN_LNC001193)". Lineage: Eukaryota; Viridiplantae; Streptophyta; Magnoliopsida; Vitales; Vitaceae. The record is from RNAcentral.